GUAUUAUUUCAUCUCUAUAGGAAUUAAAUGAUAAGGCUACGUGAUGCAUAACUUUUUCCUUUUCCUGUCUUUGUUUUUCUCUUCUUUCUACUUUUGGUUUUACUACCUAAGAAAAAUUAAUCGAGGAUAUAAGAAACAUAAUGGCAUGCAUUUACUCUAAAAAUGAUCUUAAUAACUGCAAAAUUUCAGAUGGAAUCACAACAACAAUGCUCUUUAUCGAGGAAAGCAAAUCCAGAAAGAUAUGUGCAAAAGAUGGAAAAAGAAAAUAAGGUUCAGCAAUGGAACAAAUUAAGAUUAUAAUCUCGGCUAUUUACUUCAAUAUGAAUCAGCCAAAAGGAAACUUUUCUUAUUUGACGAAUUAAGAUUCAAAAAUACAAAACUUACAGUGCGAAGGAACCAAAUUGGUUUUUAGGUAUUCGCCAAUUUACAAGCAUACGCCAAAUACUUAUCCACAUUCUUGAGCCCGCAUAGCUCCUUGACCACGGGCAUUGUAGCCGGGACCGCCAAAUCGAACGCGAGAGGAGAUUCUUCAGAUCCGAUGAGUGACAAAAGUUGUGCCCUAGCGGCUCGAAUGGCUUCUCUUGUCGCGCAAUGAACCGAAGCUGCAAGAAGCAAUGGCGGCUCCCCAGAUGCUGCAAGGAAGAGUUGCGGUUAGUAGCAGAAUAAUAACACUUAAAAGCAUCUCAGAAAAUAUUUCCCGUGAUUUACUUGGAUGAAAUUGCAAUAUAUGUGCAAGUUCAGGGACCAAACUGUUUGAGUAAAAAGUUCAGGGCUAGGUUGCAAUAUCAGUUCUUUACAAUUUUUUUUUUCCAGUGUAACCACAGCAAAAAUUUACGGGAUUUUAAUACAUCAUUGCAAUACACAAAAAUUGAAAGAUUUUAAGAUAAUAAGCAGCAUAUAAGAGUGACUACUUAUGUUGCGAUGUUAUUUGGAGCCGGAAGCAGAACUUGGAAAAUGAUGCCAUUACCUUUCGAAGAGAGCACACGCCUUUUAUGAUAUCCGCUGUUAAUUAACUCAACAUUGAACUGUUUCGGAAUGGUGUCCACAGUCGGUACUUUGUAUGUCCAAGUACCAUCAGAAACAACCAACCCAUCGGAAUUGCUCAAAUAUUCCUCAUACAUAAAGAAGCCAAUCCCUUGAACAAAAGCUCCUUCAACCUGCAUAGAAAAGAUUGUAAACAUUUUUGUCCUAAUAAGCAAAGCAUAUGCCAUGACAUAUAAAAAAGAAGAGUUGGUACUUAGAACAGAAUCAUCAUUGGAACGGGAUUGAUAAUGAACCUGACCCAAAUCCACAGCAGGGUUUAAGCUCUGGCCGCAGUCGUAAGUUAGGUCACUCCGCAAAAUCGUGGUAGUUCCUGUGAGAAGAUCUACCUCCACCUGUAACAACAAAUAAAAUCAGUUCAUUUUGUUUAAAUAUCAAUUUUUUGAAAGAACUUGCUGAAAAAGUUUGGCUACAGUGAGCAGAUGCAUUGAAGUACCUCGCUUACAGCAGCUCCAAAAUUCAGAUAGCUUGCAGAACUCCCGUCAGGGACCCAGUAAGCAGUUGCCGAUAAAUUCACGCUUUCCAGAUUCGCCUGCAGGUGUGGAAGAAAAGGCACGAAAUCUAAGGCAAGUAUUAUUCAGACAAUCUCUUGGGCACUGAAACACAUUAUGUAUAAACAUCUAUGCAUAUUGUAUAUCUCCAUAAUGAGCUUGCAAAAUCUGAAUGUUCAUACAUAUCAAAGUGUUCCACUAAAAAUAACAAUUUCAAACACCGAACCAACAGCUCCCCUGGAGUUGGACAACCAGAGAUUAAGGAUAUUUCUGUAGGAAACUGCACUUUCGAGAGGUAUUAAGAAGAUAUAGAUUUAAAAGGGGUUUACACGUAAAUAAAUGAUUAUGCAGUAAUAUGUAUAUAUUUAGAAGCUCCAAACUGUAAAAUGGAAUAAUUACCUGCAUAAUUAAAGAAUCCCACGAAACCGUGCCCUGCUGUAUUUCCAGCCUCUCCUUAAGAGAUUUUAGUCUCUCAACAAGAACAUUACAAGAUACACGAACUGCCUCGCAGCUAGAUUCUGAUGUAGUACUCCCAGCCGUCCAUCCUCCUUGUAUCAAACUCAAAGUAUCAGCCUGAACAACCCUUAUCCUCUCCAGAAGGCUUUGAUUUUGCUCACCCAACAACUUCCCAAGAGCAAAAGCCGCCAUCUGCUUCACUUUUGUCCACAACCCUUGCCCCAGUUCAAUCCCUCCAACUUCAACGACAAUCGAACCAUCGUUAAGAACCGAUACUUUGCCCGGAGUGGGCCUAAGAAUCACUUUGUGCACAAUGGGUACGCAGGAAAUUCCCCUUUUCUUCCACUGGUUGCUACUAUUGAAUCGCUUGAUCAUUUCAACACGGUGCCGAUAGCUCGAAGAAAAGGCCAAUUUAUCAAAAAUAGUGGGGAGUGUAUAUUCAAGAGCUUCGUCCUCGCAACCUUCAUAAAACAAUUUAAGGCUCUCAAAAGUGUGAAGAUUCUUUUGCCUGAUAGAAUUGGGUUCAACACCGAGGGCUGAUGCGACAUGUUCGAUGACGGCCUCGGCAAUGUACGAGCCCUGAACCUCUCCUGGGGCCCGCAUUGCCGACCUGGUUGGAGUAUUGGUUUUGCAGACCUUCACAUCGAAUGAAAGAGAACCCCAAUUGUAUUUCUUGAGUGCUUCGAUAAUGUUAUGUGGCAUUAUGGGGCUCACAUCUUUUGUUCUUCCUGCAUUAAUCAAUAGAUCUAUAUGCAAGGCAGUAAUUUUUCCAUCGGACUUGAAGCCCACUGAAUAGUAUACUUUCAUUGGAUGUCGGCCUCCCACCAUUAUCAUGUCAGUUUUGCGAUCGAGAUACAUACGAACCGGGCGCCGCAACUUAUAUGCAGCUAGUGCACAUGCAGUUGCAACCUAACACAGCAACACAAUUAGCCAUAAGCUCUCUCUCCUUUUUCCAGAAAAAUUUGAUUUACAGAAUAGAAUGUUAGGUUCAAAUUCAAGCACCACGAAGGGAAUUCUCGAUGCAACGAUUUUAAUCUGCCUAUAAGUACUCGAUGCACAUACUAUGCCUGUUUGGCCUAACUUUUGAAGCAGCUUCUCUAUUCCAACCGGCAGAAUUUUUUUAGAAAACAGACGCUCAUGGGAUCAUCACUAUCCCGCAAUUUAGAAGGCAAAUACAAAGACAAAUAUAACUAUCUUGCUUAACACAGAUGUAUCUACAUGUAUGAAUACUCGCAUCUAUAAGGAACCUACAUGCCAAAUUAAUCAGACUUGAAGGUCAUUGAUUUUAGGACUAAACAGAAAAAUAAGAAGAAAAAUCAAAUGACUCUUGCACAUAGUUUUUUAUAUACUGAAAAUCAUCUCAUAUGCAAAAUUUUGAAGUUAAUAAUACUUACAGGUAAUGAUCUAAGUGCUUUCCCUCCAAAACCACCUCCAACUCUUCGGGUAAUUACACGGACAUUGUGGAAAGGGAUACCGAGGCAUUUUGCAAUGACACCCUGUGCUGUCUCAGGACACUGACUCGAACUAUAUACUACCAUGCAAUUAUCUUCAUCUGGAAUAGCUAGUGCUGUUUGAGUCUCCAUAUAAAAAUAAUACUGUGAACCAAGUGUAACCUGGAUAUAGAAGUUAAGAUCAGUUUGUCAUGCUUAUAAUGUUAGAGCAAAACAAAAUCUUAACCAUAAAAGAUACUAUAUAACAUCUCUGGAAGGGCAGUGAAUUCACUAUAUCGUAACCCAGUUUAUUAUGAAAAGUCCAACAAAUAAGAAAAAAACGCGCAAGUCAGUAGCAGUGCGAUCUAUACAUGAACACACGCCAUUUCAGUUGAAUGAGAGGGACAUUCUGAAAAAUGCACCCAAAUGAACGGCAAAACCAAUGAGUAUAGAAAGUUACCUUGGCUGAUAGAAUCGUGUGAUCAGCUUCUGCCAUUCCCUUGGAGUAAUCACCAACCUCUUUAGGAUAGACAAAUGAGGGGACUUCAAAAUAACUGCUUCUUUUGACAGCAUCUUCUACUGAUAAAAUUGGCGGCUCCAGAUUUUCUGUGCUAUAGGCAACCACAGCAUGCUUCGCUGCCAAGUUAGCAAAUCGCUGUGUUUCUGCAAUCUAAAUUAGUACUCCAUCAGAUUUAUUUAAUGUACUAUUCAGAACACAAGACAAAAAUUGUUAUCAUCUUCAUUUAAUUGGAUUCGCGUAAUUUGAUAGUUAGAAAUGAUAUUUUAACACAAGCAGAGGAAAGGAAGUUUGGAGAUGAUAGCAGCAAUCAAAAUAAUGAGAACAAGAAAAAUACCACAACGCUAAGUGGUUGGCCGGCAUACUCUGUAAGUGAAUCAGCAAACAAUGGAUCGGACCCAAACAUACUGCUUGCCCCGAUGUUACUUCCUCCUUUUGGAAUGUCAUCAACGGAAACAAUUUUAAUGAUUUUCUGCUGUGCCAGAGAAGAAUGGAACUCGAUGCUCUUCACAUGUGCGAAAGGCCUUGUGCUAUAUACAAAUGCUCCAUAAAGACAGUCGUUCGGAGAAGGGAUGUCAUCCACAUAUACAGCUUCACCUGCAUUUUGUGGAUCAAAAGAUUAUUGAAAAGAAAGAUGUCAUAGAUGAAUCUGCCUGUUACUAGGCGAGAAGAUGCAUAGGCGCUACUAGUUAGUUCAGAAAAUAUGAAAGAUGAGGAACGUUGGCACUUAUGAAUAUGACUGCCAUUAGUUAAUUGCAAGAGACUAAGAUAUAGAUCUGAAAUCUCAUAUCACAACUCAAUACAAGUAUUUUCUCUCAGUUUAUCAAGCGAAAGACACAAACAGAAAUAACAGAAGUGACUGAGAAAAAUUAACAGCAUAUCACAAAUAAUUCCUCAUGGCGAUGAUCUUACUUUGUCAAACCUAAAUUAACAAAUAUAUGGCAAUAAACAAGAACAAAAAUAGAAGAGCUCAUCUAGAACGAUUGAUAUGCACGUACGUACCCGAAGCUUGGAUUUCAGCUCCAGCUUUCUUAGUUGGCUCGCCAACUGGAUGAUACUCUUUGUUCAGUUCCAUAAUCUGCUCUGAGGAAGAAAGCAUGCGAUUACAAUGGUUACCAUGCUCAGAUGCACUAUCAAGCGUAAUAUUGGCAUGCCCAUUAAGACUACCGUUUGGACAUUCAGCACUAACAGAUACAUUUUCUAAUACAUUACGAUUGUUCUUCAUAGGCUUUUCCAAGCCUGCAGUUACUGGAUGAAGGAAACUAAACAGAAAUGCAACAGCCAAACUUAUUCUAUAGGCAGCGUGCGGCGUGCCUUGUUCUGGUAUAAUUGUUUCUCUCAGCAAUCUAAUUCCUUCAAGUAGAACAGAUGAUCUGAUAGCUUUACCAAGUAAAAAUUUCUCAACCUUUCGAGCUCUAAUGGCAUGUGGGCACCCAUAAGCACCGAAAGCCAAGCGUAAAUUCUCUAUAACAACAUCACCUGAUUCUUUAUCUAAGGAAGUCUCAGCCAAAAAGGCAGAAUUAAGAUAAGCUAAAGCAUUCCCAAGAGGGCGUGGAGCAGCUCGGUAUGUUUCAAACAAAAGAUCAGUUCUUGAAAUCCAAGAGGGAAUAUAUAUGCUAACUAAAAGAGUUUUAUGAUCACAUGGAGGCAUUUCUAGAAAUUCCUCCAAUGUGAGACUUAAUCUUUCUGAGGAGAGCUGAAGACAAACAGUUGAAUCAGCAGCAAGAAGUAUCGUAGCGAUGUCUGAGGGAAAAUGAUUUCUCUGUGCCAUGACCAAGUUUCCUCCCAUGCUAGCUGUGUUUCGAACAAAUUGUGAAGCCACUUUUUCCAUGUGAUCAGCAAUUUUACUAAACACUAAGCUUUGAUUUUCUUCCCUUAAUGCUUCAACUGUCCUAGAGAUUGAAACAGCUGCUCCGAUUUCAAGGCCUUCAUGGUUAUUUUUUAUCAUUGUUAGCUCGGGAAUCUCUCUGAGGUCAAUAUACUUAUCAAAUAGGUCCAAUUCUUUGUAAACACCCGAAGCAGUGUUGCCAACAACCAUUUUAACAUGGCUUUUACUAAAUUCUUCCGAAUCUAACAGUUUAUAAAGUUCUUUGAUACUUUUAGGACGGCACCAAUAACCUCCUCCAAAGGAACUAAUCUCAGCAACAUUCGAAUAAGCCGAAAAGGAUUUGACCUCAGAUUUCAAGAACUCAGGAAACGUACAGAUCCCACCACGUUUAUAGUACGGCAAUUUGUCAGCAUUCGCAUUUUUACCCCCUCUCUUCCAAAAUGAAUUAAGGCCCAAAUCUUCCAAGUCAACAUCAGCUGCAAAGCUCUUACACGUAUCUAAUAUUGGCCGGUACCCAGUGCAUCGACACAAAUUGCCUAAGACAGCCUUCUCUGCCUCAGAAACUAAGAGCUUUGAAAACCCCUCUGGAGGGUCGGGCUGAUUAGUUUUAUCCGCAUUAACUAAGGAGGAUAAAAGAGACAUGCACAUGCCGGGAGUACAAAACCCGCACUGAGAGGCAUGAAAGCCUGAGAGCCUUCGGUGAAUUGAAUGGAAACCAUCCUUGCUGUUUCCGAGCCCCUCUGUGGUUGUGAUUGAGCAGAGAUUUAUACUGCAAAGAAGUGUUAGGCAAGAGCUGACGGUAAAAUCAUUCACUUGGUCAGUAACAGGAUCGUAUGUUGACAGAAGAACGGCGCAAGCGCCACAGCCACCUGAAACAACAGAGCUCAUGUAAAGUACUGUUUUCAAUAUAUAAAUGCAGAAAACGAAUGUAGAGAAAAUCAUCUACAAUAUAUUGGUUUAUGCUUCCUUGAUCCAUUUUCAAAUUGUUGUGUGAAUAACUUGACUGCAACGACGAUCCAAAUAAUUCAAGUUUGACAACGGCAGCCAAAUUUCUCAGGUUCGGUAUACACCAACAAAUUUCAAUUCCUAAACCAUAUCUCAUAUCCUAGCUUUCUAAUUUGACUCUGGCCAAUUUACUGGGACUGAAAUGUAGGAGCUCAUCAAAACACCAAAAAGUAAUAGCAAUGCCCAUUAAGGAAUCAAACACUCACAAAAAAAGUUCUAUUGCAGAUAAUAGUUCGAACAGCUUCUCCAUUACAAUUGCCCCUGUAACUUCUUACUUUUGGGCUUCAAAAAACUCAUUUUUUGCUUUCCGCUGCAGCCAGAAGCUCAAUUUCCCUCUUAAUUACAUUUUUUAAUUGUCGAGACAUAGGACUUCACUUCUGCUUCGCAAGUAGAAAAGAUAUUCUAAAAACAUUGUAGCAUAGAAUAAUCUAUCAAAUAUUCAAAUAGCAGUUCCCAAUAACUGCAAAUCAUGAUCCAUCUCCCCCUAACUUUACUACUUUAUUGCAAAAAAAAAAAAAAAACAAUUUUUAAUAAUAAUUACCGCAAAAAAAAAGGAGAAAAAGUAACUACCAAUCUAAAAUGAACACCUUAAAUCAACUAAACCAAUCAAACAAAGCUUUUCUUUUGUUUUAAAUAAAAAAUAAUCAUCCUCUCGGCACCCGAGCUUCGCCCCUUUAUACACCAAUCAAAUAAUUUUUUGCAAAAAAGAAAAGAAAAGAAAAGAAAAACACAUCUCCGUUUUUCCUCAAUCAAAUAAAGUUUUUAAAGAUUUUUUUUUUAAAAAAAAACGAUCACCAUCUCCGCACCAGAGCUUCGCCCCCCUUCAUAAACCAAUCAAACAAAGUUUAUUUUUUUUAUUUUAGAAAAAAAAAAACUAUCAUCACCUUAUCCGCACCUGAGCUUCUUCGCACCAUUAUAAACCAAUCACACAAUUUUUUAAUUUUUUUUUUUAAAAAGACGACGACAACAAGAACAACAUCAAAUCACCUUCUCCGCACCCGAGUUUCGCCCCUUUAAACCGCGUCCGCGUCCUCAAAAACUCGAGCAAAGUGAUCGAAGGCUCCGGCACCUCCGCCUCCGACACCUCGCGCCUCUCCCCGUUCACCGCGAACACCAAUUUCCCCAUCAUCGCCCACCCCCUCUCCUCCUCCUCCUCCUCCUCCCCCCCUUCUCCUCCUCGCCCAUGCGAGUAACCUAAUCCGAACAGCGCGACGCGGACAACUCCUCCUCGUACACAGCAACAGCGGUGAUAAGGAGCAGGGGAGGAGCAUGCGCAUAUCCCGAUCCCGCGCACUCUCUCGCACGCCACAAAGAGAGGAAAUUACCUAAUAAGAGAAUAAAGAAAAAGGAAAAGGAAAUGUGAAAAGGAAGAGAGAGAGAGAGAGAGAGAGAGAGAGGAGUCAACGGAGGGGGUAGGGGCAUCGACAUGAGAGCGAUUUCGGCGCUUCUCCCUCUCACUUGUGUGUGUGUGUGUGUGUGUGUGUGUGUGGGUGUGCGCGCGUGUGGUGCAGUGAAGUAACUUCUCGUAGCCACGUUGCUGGGAUUCGGUGAUGCGAUGGAGACGCUACUUGGACUGCGAAUUAAGUUUCGAACUUUGCAUCCCAGAUAUUAUCAAACUCUUUGCUAUUUAAACUAUAAACAAUCGGCAUAUAUUUUUUACAAGUUUAAGUCGUAUAUAUUUUUAUCCUAAUUCUAUUUUGCCUAAAUGAUCAUGUAUUAGUAUUAGAUGAUUCAGUGCAUGAAGUAAUCAAAACUUUUAUGUCAUGUAUGUCAAUACUUGAAUAGAAUAAUGCUGUUGCUGCAUAUGGAUUUUUACAACAAUUUACUAAUAUUUUUACAAUAUUUUACCUGCGUAUUGAUAUGCGCAGUUUUAAUUUGAUAGUAGUUAAUACAAUUCAUGAGAAGAGAUUUUUUUUACAAGUGGAUAAAGAAAAUAAGUACAAAACUGUUACUGUAUAUGUUAACACAUUACCAAUUUAGCAAUAGUCCCAACACCCCCCUCCAGAGAGUGAAACUCGAAAACUAAACACUACCCUAAUAGGUGUAAUAGUAAUAUAUUUAUAUCAAAAGAUAUAUAGUUUAUUAUAUUUAAUACCUGAUCAAACGAUAUGCAAGAAUUUUUUAUACGCUGAAGAGUAUAUGCUGCUCUUCUGAAUCACACAGCUAUGCAGAAGUUGACAGAUCCUUCAAACAAUAUAAGCUUAAAUCACAUAGCCCUAAAAGUAUACUCCAAAAAGAAGGAAGAAGCACAGCAAAUAGAAGCUAUUCCAGAACAUUUAUACAAUGGAUACAAACAGAACAAGUAACCAACCGUAUCAGAUUUUAUUCAUGCUACAAAACCCACUAUCCAGCCUUUUAUAACUCGUAGCGCUACACGACAUGAACUUAUUUCUAGUCUUAGCACACAAAAUGUUCGAAAAAGCGCUCUAAAAAAGGCUGUAUUUAGUAUAACGCUGCAAGGACUCGCGACGACGAAUCACACUUUGACUGACUGAUGAGCAGAAAUGCUUUCCAAGUACUUCUCAAUGUUGUCGAGCCCGCACAUCUCCUUGACCACAGGCAUUGUGGCGGGAACCGGCAAUUCGAAUACAGAGGAAGACUUCUCGGACCCAGUUAUCGAAAAGUGCUCUUUUCUAGCUGCCCUGACGGCUUCUCUUAUCGCACAGUGAACUGAAGCUGCAAGAAGUAAAGGCGGCUCCCCAGAAGCUGCAUAAGAUACAUUAUAAUAGCAUGUUUUAAUAAACAUUAUGAGAAAGAAAACGAAGAAACUGCAAAAGUGAUUCUAUAUAAUUAUAUAAACUUGGUUAUAACUGUUGUUUUUCGGUUUCUUGGAAUCAUCUGUUUAUGGCUGUUGUAAAAAUAUAUAACAGUCGAUUAUAACUCAUAACUUCAACAGAUUUGCAACUACAGAGGUCCAAUUUUAACAAUUUAGUAUCUUAAGUGUCAGUCCAUUAGUAUACCGACAUAAAAGGAGUCGCCACAUCAGUCAAACCUAACCAAACUCAUUACGUAGUAAAUUUGACAUGACAUUUUCUUAGCACAAUUACAGAGGAAAAUUUAUUUGGUAUGCAAAUUUUUGAAGCCAAAUGAAAAGGCCUAAACUGGCAAACAAGCAAUACCUUUAGAAGAGAGCAAAUGCUUUUGGUGAUAUCCGCUACUAAAUAAUUCAACAUUCAAUUCUCUCGGAAUGGUAUCGACAGUAGGGGGUUUGUAGGUCCAAGUGCCAUCCGUGACCACCAAACCAUCUGAGUUUGACAAGUGCUCCUCGUUCACGAAGAAACCAAUUCCCUGAACAAAAGCACCCUCAACCUGCAGAACAGGGGAAGAGUGGCCGAUAAGGUGCAUUACAGAAAUUACUAGGAAUAGUAGCAAAUUUUAAUGGAGAGAGAAAGAAGCACCAUUAUUUAUGAUGCUAUCAGAAUUUUUCCAUUUGUCAAUUAAACGGCAGGUACCGUCUUUUGAAAACCUAAUGGUGUAUGAACAGGAAGCAGACCAAACCAUUUGCACCGUUAUUUACUUUACAUUAGUGUAUAUAAUCACCAGUUGAAAACAUACUCAGCACUCAAGGCCCUGUUUGGCCCAGUUAGAGCUUCUAAAAAGUGCAGCUUGAGCAGAGCUAUUUGUAAAAGCAUUAAAAGCUUUUCACGAUAAUAGCUUUCAACUAUGGCAGAAAAAGCUUCAGGACGUCAGGUUAAGCAGAAUUGAGGCUUCCGCUUACCAGACACAAGUUCAUGGAAGACUACAAAAAAAUCAACGAUAUUUGGAAGCACUUUGUGGUAUAUAAUGAAUUAAGCCAAUAGGAUGUGUAUUGUGUAACAAACCUGUCCCACAUCCACAGCAGGGUUCAAACUUUUGCCACAGUCAUAUGAAAUGUCACUCCUUAGAACCGUGGUAGCUCCGGUGAGAAGAUCAAUCUCCACCUGAAAAUGCAUAAAAUUACCAUGGUGAGGUUGAUAUUGUAAGCAGAAGAGAUAAAUAAUGAGCGUUUCUAAAGGAGGGAAAAAAAAAAGAAAAAUAGGAAGAGAAUAUGUGCACAUCAGUGAAGAAUGUCUAUAAUACACACACACACACACACACACACACACGGAUGUAUGAAUGUGCGUCCAUGUUACACCAAAUUCCAUAAAUGUACCUCGCUUAUAGCAGCUCCGUAAUUUAAAUAGCUUGAAGAAGUUUGGUCAGGAGUCCAGAAUUCACUUGCCGAUAAAUUAAUAUUUUCCAUAGUUGCCUGCAAUGAGAGAAUAGAAAUUCACUUUACAAAUUCAUAAACUUCCAAUGGUCCUAUACUACCAUAGUCUAAUGAAAACAACCUUCCAAGACCUAUGACUAAAACUGCUAAAGAAAAUAAUAAACACAUAAAAGGGUUCACAAAAGAGUGAUAAGAAGACCGACACUCAAAAGAAGACGGAUGAUGAAUGCAAAAUAUAUAUCCAUAUGAAGCUUAAACCUAGAAACAUCUUUGAUAAAAUACCAUUGUAAAUAUGCAAAUAUGCAAAAAGUACCCCUGCAUCGUUGGUUUAGCAUGUGUACCCGUCAAAACCUUGCUUGCACGUGCACCUCUGCCAGGGUGCAAAAACAAUAUUUUGAAAUAUAACUAGGCAGGGUCAUGAAACUAUGAAUCCAAAUAAACAUGAUCUACAAGGCACGUGCGCAAAUACCAACUUCUGCGGGUCAUUUGUACAAUUUCGCAUAUUACAGGUAUUUUUAUGAAGAAAACCCAAAAGAAACUAUGAAGUCAAAAUGAUACCUGAGCUAUUAAAGCACCCCAAGAAACAAAGCCUGCUUGUUCUUGCAGCCUAUCCUUGAUUGGCUUUAAUCUCUCAACCAAAAUAUCACAAGACAAACUAACCGCUUCGCAACUUGAUUCAGAUGUGGUGCUCCCACCAGUUACUCCUCCUUGAAUUAAGCUUAAAGUAUCAGCCUGAACAACUCGCACCUUCUCCAACAGGUUCACGCCCCCAUCCUCCCACAACUUCCCUAGACCAAAUGCCGCCAUCUGCUUCACUUUUGUCCACAACCCUUGCCCUAUUUCGAUUCCUCCAACCUCAACAACAACCGAGCCAUCAUUUAAAACUGAAACUUUCCCAGGUGUUGGUCUUAGUCUCACUUGAUAUAUACUGGGUACACAAGAAAUACCCCGUUUUUUCCAUUUGUUGGCGCUAUUGAAAUUUUUAAUCAUUUCAACGCGUUGCUGAUAGGUUGGAGAUAAUGCCAAUUUAUCAAACAUAGAAGGUAAAGAAUAUGAAGAAGCUUCUCCAAAGUUACCUUCACAAUACAACAUAAUACUCUCAAAGGUGUGAAGAUUCUUUCUCCUAACAUAAUUGGUAUCAAGAGAGAGAACUGAAGCGACAUGCUCAAUAAUAGCUUCGGCAAUAUAAGACCCUUGUAAAUCUCCAGGAGCACGCAUUGCUGACUUGGAUGGGAGAUUUGUUUUACAGACCUUUACGUCGCAAGAAAAAGCACCCCAAUUGUAUUUCUUUAGUGCACCUACGACUGCCCCGGGUAUUAGUGGGCUCACAUCUUCUGAUAUUCCUGCAUUAAUUCGUAGAUCAAUGUGCAAAGCGGUAAGUUUCCCAUCAGAUUUGAAUCCAACAGAGUACUUAACAUUCAUCGGAUGCCGCCCUGCUGCCAUGAUCAUGUCAGUUUUGCGAUCCACGUACAUUCGAACUGGGCGGCGCAAUUUAUGUGCUGCAAGUGCACAUGCUGUGGCAACCUAACAGAAGUAAUAAUCCGAAUCAGUAGUUGCUGGUUUUUUUAAUUUCUUUAGCUGAUUCAAUCAAAACUUUCUGCCCAUACUCAGAAUACAGUGCCAAGUCCAAUAUCAAACACCAUAGUUAAAGAGUUAAUCAUCUAUAUUCAUCAGGCACCUGGGGCCUGUUUGGCCUGGGAGGAAUAAAAUCCACCCCUACAGCUCAGAAACUUCAAGUUAGAGUUUCUGUUUUUGGGUAUUAGAAACUCAUUUCAGCUUCUCGCCGCAGUGAAAGCUCCAAACAUUUUGUUUGUCGGCCACCUCAUUGCAACUUCUUUGCAUUAGAGAAGCUCAGUCAGAACAAGGGCCAAAAGGUAGGUAGUAAAGAAAUUUCACAAAUUUUGGGAAUUCUAGCUGAACCAUCAAAAAUAUGAACAGUCAUGCAUGCAAGUCAAAGGAGAAUGUUCGUGCAAUAUAUUGCAAUUUGCUUCUUUUGCUAUCAUUCUAAAUGUUAAAAGAAGCUUGCAUGGACAUAUUAGUUUCCCACAGAAAAGUCUUUAGUCUGUUCUUUUAAAAUCAAAUUAGAUCCCAAAACAAUAAACUGAAAAGCAUACGCUGGUGUUGAGUCAAAAAACUACUGUAAAGUUAAUCUAACUGAUAAUUGGCAUAAGAAAAGCUACAAUAUACAACAAUUUUCCAAAAAAUUCACAAAUUGAUGAACUUUUAGUUGGCCACAUAAUUUAUCAAGUUAUUUGGUAGUGCACCAAUGUUUAUUGAAAACAAUCAAAAGCUAUAAAUGACCAGUUCAAGAAUUCAUUGCUGGAUAUAUUAUUCAUUAUCUCUUUUAUUCUUAUUCUUUUAAGAAGGGAUAAAAGAUAAUUAAAAAAUGGAAUUUGUUUCCCAUUUCCUCUUCUUUUUUUUUUUACUUUUUUGUAUUUAUAACCAAACAAGUUCCAAAUUUCUUUCAAGCUCACUGAAUUGUUUAACUAAUUCUGAACUUCCCAACUUUACUGAAUUGAUCCCAAAUGCUGAACAUGUGACUACAGCCCAUAAGGAUAUUUCAAAAACAAUCUUGACUCGUGAAUUCCCUGCUUGCCUAGCUGUCACGAUAUCUGAUUGCAUAAAUUCCCUCAUAGGCAUUUCUACUAUGGGGAAUUUUUAUCCUCAAAAGGUAACCAGUCAUAGCCGUCACAUGCUGUAAAAAUAGGAGGUCUAUAUGCAACUGAAUUUUCGUGGUAACAAAUUUAUUUGUUCAGAGAGAGAGAGGGAGAAAGGGAGAGAUGCUCACAGCGAUUGCUUUGAAUGCCUUCCCACCAAAACCCCCUCCAACUCUUCUUGUAAUAACACGGACAUUGUGGAAGGGGAUGCCCAGGCACUUCGCAAUCACACUCUGUGUAAGCUCAGGGCAUUGACUUGAAGAGUAAACCACCAGGCAAUUAUCUUCAUCUGGAAGAGCUAGAGCUGUUUGCGUCUCCAUGUAAAAAUAAUACUGUGAACCAAGAUUUACCUGGCAAAAGCAACAUAAUAAUAAUUGUUGACACGAUGGGUGCGUGAGAUAAACAGAACAAAACAAGUUGGUCAGAAUAAAAUCAAUUAUUUUUAGUGAAAUUUGCCGGGGCCAUUUCAUAAUGAUAAACAAGAAACAACAAAAUGUAAGAGAGUCAAAUACUCAUAAAAGUGCAACUAGUAUCAUUGACUCAUUAAUAAGACUAAUGCUGCAUUAUUUGUUUGAACUUCCCAUUGUAAUUGAAUUUGUUUAAAAAAAAUUUAAAAAUUAUUUUUUUGUAUUUUAUAAGAGAAAAACUGUAAUACGGUUAAAAGAAAGAAAGAAAGAUGUCUUUGCAUUUUUUAAAUUCUAACAUGUAAAAAUUCUUAUUCUGCAUCAGGUGUAGUUGUACUUUAUAUACAAAAAAGCUUAUAAGUAUGUUAAUUGAUGAGUAUAGUAAGUUAUACAUAGCAAAUAUUCAUAAUUAUUUGAUUAAAUCUUUCAAAAUAAUAUUAUUAGAGCUUAUUGGAACCAAAAAAAUUAAAAUAAGUACGUGCCAGAACGUGCCAAUAGGAGGUCAUCUGUAUCCAUCGGCACGUAAGCGUGCCAUGUGUCGGCACACAAGCGUGCCGGUGCCGUACCGUACCAUGCCAGACAGACAGCGACACGCUUCUGUACCACGGCACUUUAAACCUUGAUUAUCAAUACACUGGAGGGGUCUUUUCGCAAUAAAUACAACCUUUGAGCCAUAAAAUUCCUGUUAGAUGUAAAGGAAAAUGGAUAUAGAAAAGCACCUCGCCAGAUUGAAUUGUUUGAUCAGCUUCUGCCAUUCCUUUGGAGAAAUCACCUAUUGAUUUAGGAUCAAAAGGGGGUGGAAUUUGGAAAUAACUUUGUCUCUUAAUUGCAUCUUCUACCGUUAAAAUUGGUGGUUCCAAAUUUUCCAUGCCAUAGUCAACAGUAGCUUGUUUAGCAGCCAUGUUGGCAUAUCUCUGAGUUUCUGCAAUCUGAAAAGACAUGGUCCAUCUCAGUCAUAACAGCAGAAGUCACAUUUAACCAGAAAGAAAUAUUCAGGUCACAAAAAGAAAAGGUUAACCCACUUGUGCAUUGGCAUAUGAAGUAGAAACAUAACUAGAUAAGGGCCUCUGUUUAAUCAUCUAGUCAUGUAUACGCCUCUGUAGAAUCUUAAUUUCAUACAUACCCCUCAAAACUGCAGUUUUUCACAAAGAUACCCUUAAAUUGGGGAGUCAUCCAAUUCACAUGGAUGACUUGGUUUCCUAUUGGAAAAUGGUUUUUAAGAGGAGCAUUUUCUUAAGUACAAGGAUACAUGUACGAAUUAGGGUUUUGAAGGCCAUCUAUGAUGAUUCAGAUUUUGCAGGAACACUUAGGUUAUUAGAUAACGUUGUAAGGGUAUAUGCCUGAAUAUGUUGAAAAAAAAAAUUGCGAGAGCAAGAGAGGUACCAAAAUGCCUAGUGGUUGUCCAGCAUACUCGGUAAGCGAAUCAGCAAAUAAUGGUUCCGUCCCAAACACAAAGGACACUCCGAUAUUUUGCCCACCGCUUGGAAUGUCCUUCACAGUAAGAACAGAGACAAUUUUCUGUGCUGCAAGAGAAUUGUUAAAGUUGAUUCCUCUAACGUGAGCAAGGGGUCUGGUGCUGUAGAUAAAAGCUCCAUAGAGACAGUCCUUUGGAGCAGGAAUGUCAUCCACAUAUACAGCUUCACCUGCAUAAGUUAAGCAUGUAAUUAGUGCUAAAGAAGAAACAUUUAACUUCAACGAGUUGUGAAGGUGUCAGAUAGAAACAUUUAUGCACUAAAAUAUGCUUGGCAAGUGAUAUGACCGAGCAACGCAUGAUGCUGAGAUUUCAAACCAGGCCAAUAUUUGAUUGGAUGUUAAUGGUCAGUUCGAUAUGUUUGGACAACAUCAUGCAGGUUUCAUAUCCAAAUUCAGCCUGAUAACAUAAUCAUCUCAUUACCCUACUAAAGCUCAAGGAUUAAAUCAAUAAUGAAGAGACAAUAUGAGGGUUAUCAUGUAAAUAACAAGAAUUGCAGGAUUUAUAGGCAAUAUUCAAAGAUUUAAAGAACUAAUAAGCAAGAAAGAUAAAUGAAGUAAAGCUCCUCAAGGAUGCAAGUAGGUACCAGAAGCUUGGAUAUCCGCUCCAGCUUUAUUAGUUGGCGCCCCAACUGGGAAAUAGUCUUUGCUGAACUCCACUUCUUGCUGUGAAGAAAAAUGUAAAUCACUGUCAUCAUGAUAUACAUGAUUUAAGGCCAUAUUGUUUUCGUAUCCAUUGAGACAGCCAUGUGGAUAUUUAGCAGUAUCACUAUUAGAUAUAAGAGUCUUCCCAGGCUCUGUCAAAUCUUUAGCAAGUGGGUGGAGAAAACUGAAUAGGAAACUAACAGACAAACUUGUUCUAUAUUCAGGAUGCGACGUGCCUUUGGAAGCAACAACUGUUUCUCUAAGCAACCCGAAUGCUUCAAGUAGAACAGACGUGGUAACGGCUUUACCCACUAGAAACUCCUCAACUUUCCUUGCCCUAAUGGCAUGCUGUGUUCCAUACGCACCAAAAGCCAACUGUACUUUAUCCAAGAUAAAAGCGCCUGAUUCUUUACAUGGAGAAAUCUGUGCUAGAAAUGCAGAAUUGAGAUAAGCCACGGCAUUGCCGAGAGGACGAGGGGCAGCUCUGUAUGUGUUAAAAAGCAGUUCAGUCCCUGCUAUACUCCAAGAAGGAAUAAAUAUGCUCAAUAGUAUGGUUUUACAAUCGAAUGGAGGCCUCUCCAAAAAUUCCUCCAGCGUCAGAGUUAACCUUUCUGAAGGUGUUUGGAUACAAAUAGUGGAACCGGCAGCAAGAAGUAUUGUGGCUAUGUCUGAGGCAAAUUCAGAUCUUUGAGCCAUCAUUAUAUUUCCUCCUAAGCUAGCUGUAUUUCGAACAAAUGGCGAGGCUACCUUAUUCAUGUGAUCAGCGAUUUUCUUGAAGACUGCAGCACCAUCAUUCUCUUCUCUAAGCACUUCGAUAGCUCUAGAAAUCGUCACCGCUGCUCCAAAUUCAAUGCCUUUGUUAUCCUUUUUAAUCACCGAAAGCUCAGGGAUUGCUCGGAGGUCAACAUACUUAUCAUACAAGUCCAUAUCUUUAUAAACGCCAGAGCCAGUGUUUCCCACUACCAAUUUGACUUUUCUUUCAUCAAAUGCAUUAGAAUUCAGUAACUUGUAAAGUUCUUCAAUACUAUCAGGGCGAUACCAACCCUCUUCGACAGAAGUAAGCGUAGUUCCAUUCAGAACACUAGAUGAGGAUUGGAUUUCAGUUUUUAGGAAUUCCGGGAAAGUGCAGACUCUGCCACUAGAAUAGGAGGGCAACUUGGUAGUUUUCAAAUCCUUAUCCCCCUUUUUCCAAAAAGUAUUCAACCCCAAAUCUUCCAAAUCUACGUCAGCUGCGAAGCUCUUGCAAGCAUCUAGAAUGGGUCGGUAACCAGUGCAUCGACACAAAUUACCUUGAAUAGCCUUCGCCGCCUCGGAGACCGUAAGCUUGGAGAACCCAUUUGGCGGCUCAGGUCUAUCAGUCUUUUUGUCUGCAUUAACAACGGCAGAGAAAAGGGACAUGCACAUUCCGGGGGUACAAAAACCACACUGCGAGGCAUGAAAGCCGGCCAUCCUUUGGUGAAUUGAAUGGAAACCAUCCUUAGCAUUUCCAAGACCCUCGGUGGUUGUAACUGAGUAGAAAUUUAUACUGCAAAGGAGUGUAAGGCACGAACUCGCAGAAAAUUCUUCGACUUGGUCUGUGGUGGGAUCGUAUUUUGAUAGAAGAACAACACAAGCUCCACAGCCACCUGCAGCAGGGUCAACAACUGAUGAAUUUAAAAGAAUUUCUACAUAGAAAGUAUUGCUAGUUUCAAAAUUCUAUAACAAUAGACAUAUAUACGUGGACAAGAAAGAGAGGGCUGAAUUGAUUGGAAAUAAUGCUUAGCCAUCAAAAUUAGAAUUUAGAGAGAAUCAGAAUAUUUUAAGUAAAACAAGCAAAACAAUCUAAUAGGUCGACGAAAUGUUGAUCAAAGGUAGAUGGCUAGAAGCAUAGGAGAAAAAGGGAGGGUGGAACGAAACAUGAUUAGGAGUACGCAGCCUAUGGGCUUUUAAUGUUAGAAACAUAGAAAGAGAACCUCCCCCUUACCAUCUCAAGAGACCAUUUCAAGAGAAGGGGAAACAGAUUUCCCUGGUUAAACCUCCCCCUUACCCAUUUCAAGAAGAAAAAAUUGUUACAGGCAUCCUAAAACUCCAUUUAGACCCAAUAUAUUGGCAUUAGGGUGCACAGAAAAGAUGUUCAGUCUUUAUUCAAGUGUAACAUUCACUCCCAUCUAUGAGUCUGGCUUGACUCAUGACUUGCUUUGUAUUUGGCCAUGAUAAGUUUACAGCACAAACAUACUCAUAUAUAUAUAUACAAUUUAGUUACAAGUCAAAAAAGAUAAGGCAUAAAUUGAAAGCAUAUAAACAAUUGUAUAGUCAUGUAUAGGGUUGUUGAACGGGCUGUGGGUCGUGCUGGGACAUACCCAGCCAAUCCAUAGCCUGGCAACACCCGACUCGCACCCAUGGUGUGGGCCAUGCUAGGCUGUAGCCUCAUGACCUGUGGCCUGGCAUGGCUCGGCCUGCAUCCAAAUGCCGCAAUGUCGGGCUACAAGGCUAGGCGUGGCUCGGUAUGGCCCGGUCCAUUUAUGACUGGACUUUAGUACCAGGCGGGUCUAUUUUUUUUUUCCUUUUUCUAAUAUAUUUUUUAUUUUUAUUCAUUAUUCAAAAAUUAAUUUAUCAUACUCAAAUUUUAAAUAAUUUUAAAAAAAAUUCAUCUAAAACUUAUUUAUUCAAUAAAAAACUAAAUAUAUUUUAUAAAAUCAAUUGAAAAGGAUUUUAAAAAUAAAAUUAAAAUAUAUAAAAAAAAAUAUUGUAGUAAAAUAGCCCGGCCCGGUUUAGGCCGUAGGCUAUGCUGGGCCAUCACCAUCCAAAGAAAGGUGGCCCGACCCGGCCCUGCUCAGAUUUAAAUCCAUGUAGUGCUGGGCCACCUUGUGGCUCGUUUUGGCCCAAAAAUCUGGACCGUCCAGCCCAGCACGGCCCAGAUUACAUUCCUAAUCAUGUAGUAUGUAAAUGUAAAUAAAGAGACAGACGUACGCACGCAUGGAGAGAGCGUUUCACAUAUUAAUAGUACUGCUGUUUAGUCAUUUUCAUAUGUAAAUAGUACGAUUGUUGACACCUAAACUAACAUGAGGCAAAGAAAAAUAUAUUGAAAAACGACACACAACAACCAAAAAGGACUUCGACAUAGCACUCGAGUUAUGAUAGAUAACUACAGCAAAGGCCAUUUUAGGGUGAAAGGGCUCUAGCAGAGAGAUUUGGCUUCAGUAUCGCCUAACAAAAGGGAGUUUCAGGCCUUUUGGCAAUCCAUGUUCGACGAAGAAUAAGAUACUGAGGCCGAGAUGAAGAAGCUUCAUAUUCUGAAGUUCCGGCUUCUACUCUAGAGAGAAAAUGCCAGGACGAUUUCACUACAAUAUUUUCUGUAACACUCCAAAUAGUUUCACAUCGGAUGGAAAAAGAGUUGUGAUUGGGACUAUAAGAGUUUAAUUAUGGGUCUUAAUAAUAAUAACCGGGCUUCAAAAUUUUGGGGUGGUAGUUCUGGGCUCGACAAAUUAUUAUUGCUAGUAGGUCGACCCACCGAAAGUGUGAAAGCUAAGUACUAUGCAGAACAAAGUGUUGCACCAUGGGUUUGGCGGGAACUACCUUUUGAACUCGCAGGAGCCACUUCUAAAAUCUCACAGCGCAUGAUAAUUCUGGUCGGACGGAAAAUAAGUUGAUUGGGAAUAUAAAAGAUCAUGGACGCUAAUAAUAAUAACCCGGCAAAAGUAUUUUGGGUCGGUGGUUUUGGGUCCAAUGAGUUAUUACAGGUUUGGGCUGUUAUAUUUUUCCUAAGAACGUUGAUAGGGGCCAAAGCCUUAUUGCUUACAUUAAAUAAGGUCCCAAUAACACUACAAGGAAAGAAAUAAAAGAACAAGCACUGGAGGGCCCACAAGGAAGUGUAUCCACUCAGAGAAGCAACAAAACAAAGGCAACAAAGAAGCAGGGCUAAACAUGAAGGUUAAUGGCUAAGUAAACUGCCAAAACAACAAGAACUAAGAGGAAAAGAGAAGAUGCUUCCAGAUAGUAACUACAGAACAAAUACCUAACACCAUAUUAAUUUACUAAAACCCACACAAAACAACAAAAAGAAAACCAGUAACAUAAAUGAACCAUCAACAGAGAAAUAUGCCUAAGUAUUUGUCAAUACGGGAACUAAAACCAACACAAAGAAAAAAAAAAAACAACUUAAAUAAAUGAGCAAUCUAAGGCUCUUUCGGUAUCGUUGCCAAUUUUUUUAUUUUUUCAACACUAGUUCUAUGUAAUUUGAUGUGUCGAAAAAAGGAUUUUUUUUUUUUCGUUGUUAUAGUUAGUUAGCUGAUUAUGCAUCCGAUCAAAUGGUAGAUAACUUAUUUUUAAAAAAAUCGAUAGCAAAAAAAAAAAUUUUAUUUUAAAAUUUUUAUUUUUGUUGUCUUGUAAAUAAUUCAUUGUCCACUCCUACAGCUUUUAAUAUACAAAAUUCUAUUUAUUGAAAAUAAAAAAAAAAAACAAACAUGACACAAAACGAGCCCUAAAUUCCACAGUUAAGAAAACAAGAAGAUGCGUAACGGCAUAACAUCUACACCACUAAUUUACUAAAACCAACAAAAAAAAAACAACUAAAAAGAAAAUCACUAGCAUAAAUGAAUGAUCUAAAUUCCUCAAUUAAGACAAAGAGAAGAUCUCUAAUAAUGCAGCAACUAUCUACACUAAACUAAUUUACUAAAACUAACACAAUUUUUUUUAAAAAAAAAAAGAUAAGAGGUUGUUUGGUUCCCCAGAAAAGUCCACGUGGUUUCCAGGGAAAAAAAAUUAUUCAAAAAAGUUUUUUUUUCCGAAUUUCAUAACAAUUUCUCCUUUUCGUUUUCUGAAUCUUUCAUCUGAAACACAAAAUCACUAUUUCUCCAUAAAGUUUGGAAAAGAAAAAAAAAUUCAACAAAAUUAUUACUCUCGGAACCAAUCAGAUAGAUGGAAAAAAAAUAUAUUUUUUAAAUUAUUUUUCGGAGUUUCUUAGAAAAGUAAAAAAAAAAACUAUUUCCUAAAUAAAGAAAAAGAUAAUAGAAAACAAAAUUACUAUUUUUUUAUAAAAUCUGAAAAAGAAAAAAAUUAUUGGAAGAACUAAUUUUUUUAAGAAAAAGACAAACGGAAAAUACUUUUUCCAUCCAGAAAAUUAUUUUUUGAAAAAAUUUCCUAAUUACGAAAUCCCUGAAUUAACAAUCUAAAUUCAUUUAUUAAGGGGAAAAAAAAAGGAAAAACGUGUUAAAACCACAAAACAACUAUCUAAACCACUAAUAAAACAACGACAAAACACCGACACGAUCAAUAAAUGAGCAAAACCCUAAACCCCUCAUCACCUUCUCCGCAUCCGAGCUUGGGCCCUCUGUAGCGCGUCCGCGUGCGUAUAAACUCCAGCAGCGUCGUCGACGGAUCCACCCCCGACACCUCGUACCUCUCCCCAUUAAUGGCGAACACCAGCCUCUCCACCCUCCUCCCCAUCUCCUCCUCCUCCUCCUCCUCCUCAAACAAACCCUAACAGACCCCGAAUCCCCAGCACCUGGGAUCUCCUCCUCCUCCUCCUCCUCCCCCAUUUUUAUACACGCACAAAGCGAUUCCAAUGUAGUGGGGGGUGGUGCGAUAGCGACAGGGUUAUUGUGGAUUCCCUUACCUCACCCUAUACCCUAAAAAAAUAAAAAAUAAAAUUAAAUAAAAAAAAAGGGAGAGGGGGAGGGGGGAGGGGCCUCGGGGGUCUCGGAGUACGACCCGCCACUGGAGAUGGAAAAAGGCGUCGUAUUUGAUCGGUAAAUUAUUAUUUUUAUUAUUUUUAUUAUUAUUAUUAUUUUUAUUAUUUUUAUCAAAUUAUAUUUUUAAAAUUUAAAUUUUAUUUAAUAUUUGGCCGAUCCAAAAAAUUCGAAUUACUAUUCAUUUUAAGUUAUUAGUAAAGAUCGCGUAACUUCUCUAUCCUAACUCGUUUUUUCCUGAAACUUAACGAAUACUUAUGUAAUUAAAUUACACAUAAAAAUAUCGUCAACAAAGAGUCUAGCUACACAGUCUAAUUCUUAGUCUUCACAGAUAAGAAUGAAGGACAACUUGCCAUAGGAAAUAAAAAGGUUACACACUGAUGAGAAUGCAUGACAACUUGUCACGUGGCAAAAAAAUAUUAGAAAUUUAUUUAUAUUAAUUAAUAAUAAUUAUCUUAUUAUUUGUUUUCUGUUUCCGUAGCGGUGGGAUGCGUGCGGCGUUGGGCGGCGAGAGUUUCCGCAUGAAAAUUCUUUGAAACGGUAAAUUACACUUUUGGUCCCCAAACUAUGAGUGCGUGACAAUGUGGUCCUCAUACUUUACUUUAUUUAUUUAUUUAUAAAUGAUUUAAAUCGAAUCUUAUAAAUUAUUGCGAGCGUGCCACGUUUGAAGCAGAAGAUUCGGUAGAAAAAUUUUCGAAAGAAUAUAAAUUUUACGUUCUCUAAUAUUUAAUUUACAGAAAAAAAAAGUGUUUUAUUAUAGAUAUUUGGUUUAAAAAAAAGACAAAUAAAUAUCUAUCAUAUGUAUUUUUUAUUUUAUAUAUUGUAUAUUAUUAAUUUAUAAUAAUUCUCCUACUACAUAUAUUACUAUUAUAAUUUAUAUUUGUAAAUUAAAUAUAUAAUUAUAUAAUAAAUUAAUAAAUAUAUAAAUAUAAUAUAUAUAAUAAUAGUAUGGAGUGGGGCGGUAUGUUUGUGUAAACAUGGAGCUUUCCGUGUUUUCAGGUCGCUUUCAAUAUUGGGAUUUUAAAAUCGAUUAUUAACUCCGUUAGACUUGAUUUAGGGUAUUUGAAGUACCUAAAAAAUAAAUUUCGUAAGUUUUCGAUAUCAUUUGUCUAAUAAUCGAAGGGGCUCAAAGUUAAUAAUUUUAAUAGUCAUUGUGUGUUUACAAGUUUAACAGUGUAAAAAUAUUCAAAUCAUAUGAAAUUUUGAUAGAAAAUUUUUAUACUAUAUAAAACAAAAUUAAUAUUUUUGAUCUAAAAUGUUAAUGUCAUAUUAUCAUAUUUUGUAAGAUUUUUAUUUUCAGUCGUUGAUUUUGAACCCGUUCGUUCACUAGACAAAUGAUAUGAAAAAAAUACGAAAUUUAUUUUCUAGGUACUUUAAAUACCCUAGAUCAAGUAUAACCGAACUGAUCGUCGAUUCGAAAGUUCCAACAUCGAAAACGACUAGAAAGCACAGAAGACUCUGUACUUUCAGAAACAUACCAGCUUCACUCAAUAGUAUAUAUAUAAUAUUAUAUAAUAAAAAUAUAAAAUAUAUAUAUAAUAAUUUUAAUAUAUAAAAUAUAUCAAGGCUAAUGCUACUAGACUAGCUCUUAUGAAUAUAGAUUACUUUGUACUCAUAAAUUUUCGACCGUUGGAUAAAAGAAUAUGCAGUUAGAAUGACAGUAAUCCUUAAUUAGGAUGAUAAUUGUCUCUUAGAGUUGAGUGGGUCGUUGGUUGAAUAGUAUAAUAUAAUAAUUUAAAAUAAUCAAAAAGAUAAACUUAAUAACCUAAAAUUUAUAAGUACUGUACUCAUAAAAAAUAUAGUAACUGCACUCAUACAUCAAAACAUAAAAUAAAUAUAAUAUAGUCCAGUGUGGACCACUCACGCGGUCCAAUAACUCACACGUAAGCUCGUGGACCGCGCGAUGUGUGAGCACUUUUCCUCUUCACUUUUCGUUUUCCGCCAAAAAAACGAAAACUUUUUUUUUCCUUCAAAUUUGUUAAAAACAAAUUUGUAAAUAUUAUUUUACGCGAAACCAAACUCUAGGCUACCGUUUGGUUCGGGAUUAAGAAAAAGCUAGUUAUUUUAGGGAUAAAAUUAAAUUCAGAGUUAAUGUAGAAUUAGAGUAAUUUUUAGGUCCAUUUUUUUUUUCAACAAGCUUUAUGUGAAAUCAAAUACAUCCUUAGGUAAAUUACAUUUUUGGUCCACUAAGUAUGAGUGACUCAUAUUUUGACUCUCAAAAUUUUAACUUAUAAUAAUUUUAUUUUCGAAUAUUUUAAAUUAUUACAAUUAAGUCACUCAAUUUAAUUUUGGCCGAUUAAAAUCCUAUUUUGAUGUAUGAAUAUCUUAUUUAGUAUAUUUUUUAUUACAAAUAAUAUUUAAUAAAUAAGAAUUUAGAAUUAAAUAGCAAACUCGGCUUUCAAAUUAUUUUUUCGAAUAAAAUAAAUCAUCUCGUAUGUGAAAUAUAUUAUUCUAUUAAAUCAAGAAUAACAAAAUCUUUAAGAAAGAAAAUAAAAAUCAAACUUUCUAAUUACUAUUGUACUAUAGGAAUUUUUAUACCGUUGCGUCGCUAAUGUGAAAAUGGUGUAGCAGUAUUAUAACUGAUGACAUAAUAAAGAUUAAGAUAUGAAGUUAGUUUUAUGUAGACCUGACAAUUUUUAUCCAUACGCAAGUACCUACGGGUUAUUCGUAAAUUUGCGGGCAUAGGUAUUAGUUUUUUUUAUCCAAAAAAUUAUGGUUAAAACGGGUGAGUAUCCUUGAGUGGUAGGUAUUUUUGUACAACCCGCGGGUACCCACAGGUAACCGCAUAUAUAUUUUUUAAAUUUAAAAAAAAAUGUAAUUUUUAUAAUAUUGACUCUAUAAUGACAAACAUUUUAUUAACUUUGUAUCAUGAAAAUUUGGAAUGUUAAAAUAAUUUUAUAUUAUGUAAUGUAUAUAUCUUUAAGAUUUUAUAUUGUUUAUUAUAUGCUAUGAUAUUUCAAAUAAAAAAUUAUGUUAUGUUUUUAAAAAUUUUAUAUAUAUGUUUUGCAUUUGAAAAAGGAGUCCGGCUACUAUACUAUUGGUAGCACGGGGCCUCCCGUGCUACCAAGUUGUUUUCGAUGAUGCGCCUUCCAAAUCGACGAUCGGCUCCGUUAGACUUGAUCUGCACUAUUAAAAGUAUUUGGAAACUAAAUUUCAUAAUUUUUCGAUAUCAUUUACUUAUCAAACAAAUAGUCUAAAAUUGAACGGCUGAAAAUAAAAAUCUCAUAAAAAAUGAUGAUAAAAAAUUUAAAUUCAAGAUCAGAUAUACUGAUCUUACUCUAAAUAGUGAAAAGAAUUUUCUAUAAAAUUUUCAUCGGAUUUGGAUUGUUUUACACCGUUAAACUCACAAACACGCCACAUCGGCCAUUAAAAUGGUCAAUUUUGAGAUCUUUUGAUCACUAAAUGAUGUCCGAAAAAUUAUGAAAUUUAAUUUCCAAAUACUUUUAAUAGUGUAGAUCAAGUCUAACGGAGCUGAUCGUCAAUUUGGAAGCCGCAUCAUCGAAAACAACUUGGUAGCACGGGAGGUCCCGUGCUACUGAUAGUAUAGCAGCUGGACUCUUUGAAAAAGUACAUGAGUAAUAAUAAUAAAAAAAAAAUUUGUGGGUAACCCGCAUACCCACGUGGGCGAGUAUAGAUAAAGAUAUUGAUUAUCUAAAAAUUUAUGAACAAAUUUUAUCCAUACCCAUAUGCUUCACGGGUACAGUUACUUACUUGCGAGUUACCCAACUUGUCCAUUUGCCAAAUCUUGUUCUAUGUCAAUAAUGCAUGGAUAUAUAAUUAGCUAAAUUUGAUCAUAAAAUUUUAUUACAAUAAUUUAAAAUGUGCUAUCUAAAAAUUUAUUAUAAAUUAAAAUUUGAAGACUAAAGUGAUGUGGCGCUUCAUAGUUUGGGAAUGUAAAGUAUAACUUAGCCUUUUAAAAAAUGAAAUACUAAAAAAUAAAAUAAAAAUAAUUAAAAAAAAGGAGAGGUUGGACUGAGAAGGAUUAUAGAAUAACAAAUUUUUUUGGACUUCUAUUAAAAAAAAGAAUGUACAAAGACCCCCUCAACUAUAGGAAAUUUUAAAAUAGGACUACCAACUUUUAUUUUUGUAAGUAUUUAUAAUAAGAAUGUAUGGUCUUAUACAACAAUAUGGCUGUUCUAAUUUAGCGAUCCAAAUAUUUGGUUUUUUCAAUUUUUUAAAAAAAUCUCAAUUUUUAUUUAAACAAAAAACUAAUCUAAUUUUUAUUUUUUUUAGAAGUUGUAUUUAUUCAGAUGUAAGUAAGAACAAUUUAUUUUUACACCAAAUGGUAUCUAAAAAUCUAAAACGUACCCUAAAUUCGAAGAACUCUAUUAUUCUAAAGGACCAUUUGGUUCCUUGAAAAAAUAAAAAAAAAAAAGAAAAAAUUUCAUAAAAAAACUUUUUUAAAGGUUUUUCUUUCGUUUGUUUACAAAAAAUAUAAAAUUUUCAAAAACUUUUCUCUAAAUUUUAUUUAAAAAGUUACUUUUUUUUUGUUUUUUGAAAGCGUUUUAGAAAAAGGAAAAUUAGUUUUCUAUAAAAACUAAUAUUUUUGCUUCAAACGGACAAAAUUUUUUUUUUUUAAAAAAAUCGUCCAAUUUUUUAGAAUUUCUUUUUAACACCUGGGGAAUUUUAAGAAAUGUGACCACUAAUUUGGUUGUGACAUGGACUAAUUAAUGGAGUGUUGAAAAUGAAAACAAUAGUACUUAUGUACAAGUCGAUAAGCUAUAAAAUUUAAAAAAAUAAUAAUAAAUAAAUUAAAAAAAGGGAUUUAACACGUCAUACGUGACACACACAUGGUACGAAAAAAAGGGUCAACAUAAAAGGUCACAUUACUUAGUUUGAAAUUUAAUAUAUUUGUAAUGCAUACGUUGAUCUAUGAAUAAGACUAUACGAAUGAGCCUUUUUGCUUAAAACAAAUAAAUAAAUAAAUCAAGCUACGUGCACCAUGUUCCCAUUAAAUAUUUUACAUUGAUAAGUUAAAGUAAGAAACAAUAGAUAAAAAUUUAAUCAAUUUAAUAAGUGGGUGAGGAGGCAUUUGGAUUAGUAAAGUUGUGAUUUCGUCGUAAAUUAAAUUUGUUCAUAGAUCAACUAUUAGUUUUGUAAACAUGUAUAAAACUUAUCUGAAGUUCUGAACUAUGAAUCAUUUACAUUGAUAAGUUAAAGUAAGAAACAAUAGAUAAAAAUUUAAUCAAUUUAAUAAGUGGGUGAGGAGGCAUUUGGAUUAGUAAAGUUGUGAUUUCGUCGUAAAUUAAAUUUGUUCAUAAUCGAAAUAUUAGUUUUGUAAACAUGUAUAAAACUUAUCUGAAGUUCUGAACUAUGAAUCAUUUUGAUUUGAUUAUUCAAUAUUUUAAAAUUUUAUUUUUAUUAUUUAACUUUUAAAUUUGUUCGAUUUACGUUAGUUUAUGAUAUUUUAUUUUUAAGAUUUAAACAUAUUAUUUAUUUUUACAGAUUUAACUAAUAUAUUUAUAUAAUUCUCUUAAUUUUAAAUUCAUUCGAGUAAAAUAGCAUUGUGUCAAAGCUAGAGACAAAAAUAAAAUAAAAUAAAAUGCGCGUCACUGAUGACACACGAGAAAGUUGAAUGAAUUGGCUUUGAAAGCAAGAGCAUUAAUUAAUUGGAGUUAGGACGCAGAUAUAUUUUUUUUAUAAAAAUAUAUAAAAAUUUAUCUUAAUUAUGAACUAAUUUAAUUUUUUAAAAUUUUAAUUUUACCAUUCAAUCUUUCAAUUUGUUUAAUUUGAGCCCGUCAACGAUUCUUUUAUUUCGAAAUUUAAAUGCGCUGUUGUUUUUGAAUAUUUGAUUAAUAUACUUCAUGUAAUUCUCGCAAUAAUAAUUUUAUUAAGCUAAAUAAUUACCUUAAAUUUUAACAUUAAAAUAUUUUUAACCGGCUCAAAACAAAUAAAUUAAGAAGUUGAAUAGUAAAAUUAAAACUUUUAAAAAUUAAAUAGCCAAAUUAAAAUAAUUUAUAAUUAAUAUAAGCACCGUACAUUUUUUCUUUAAUAGGUGACAGUAACAAACAUAUGGGGCGACUUUUCAUUUGUUGAACCCAUAUUCCUUUUCUUUGUGUUGUUUUCCCAACUAAUACUGAUUAGGAUCCAUUUAGUUCAACCAAAAAUAGUGAAAAAUAAUUUUUUGUUAAAAAAAUUCAAUAGAAAAAAUAUUUUACGUUUUGUAAUGUUUGAUUUGUAAGAAACAAAAUAGUUUUUCAUUAAUAUUUGUUUGGUUGGAAGAAAAAAAAUCCACAUUUAUUUAGUUUAGUAGAAAAAAUAAAUGAAAAAAAUUUUACGCAGCUUGAGUUUUUAUUUUCUACUGAAAAAUAGCUAAGAUUGAAAACUUCAAUAUUUUUCAAAUGGGUAAUAGUAUUUUUACGAAAAAUAUUUUUACUUAGAAUUAAACAAGCGAAAAAAUAUUUUUCAUACGAAAAAUAAUUUUUCGUUCUUUUUACGUGGAACGAAAUGCCCCCUUAGCGUACUUGGAUGGUAUUUCGGCCAACGGUUUCUUUAGUUUGAAAUAUUUUCUUAGGAGUGUUUUGAAUAUAAAUAUUUAAACAAAAUCACUCUUUGAUGGCUUAAAAAUUUUCGGAGAAAAUAGUUAUUUUAUAUUCUUUAAAAUAACAUCAUAAUCAUAAGAUACUGAGUUCUUGUUUCAUAUUAGAAAAUAUACAUGAAAUCGUUUUUUAAAGCUGGAAGAAUUAUUUUUCUGCUAUUUGGUUUUUAAGAAAAAUAGUUUGUUUAUUUUUUUUUCAGAUUUUAAGGGUAAUUGUAUGUUUUUUUUUUUUAUCUAAGAGAAAAAAAAAUAUGAAAAAAAAAGUUUUUUUAUGAAAAUUUUUUUAUUAGAAAAUAAUAAAAAUAAAAUAAAAAAACCGCAAAUAGAACAAAGUUGGAGGGGUUAUUUCAAAAUGUCCUAUAGUUGAGGGGGUCUCUGUAUAUUGUUAAUUAGAAUUUUAAAUUAUCUUUUCUUUUUAUUUCCUUUUCCGGAUGUGUAGUUCAAAGAAGCUGGGCAUAGAGCAUGUAUUUUCCUGAGGUGUGGUAUGUGAUCUUUAUUUAUUUUCUAUUAUUGACUCUGCAUUUAUUCUAUCUCAUUUUCGAUAUAUUUGGCUUUUGGGUAUAUCCCUGUUUCCUAAAAAAAAAAAAAAAAAAUAUAUUUGGCUUUUAAUUUCAUUGGUGAAUGAAGCAAAUGGCACAUGAAACUUAAUUCAAGGGCCAUUUUGUCAUCAUCAUGAGUUUUCACUGUGAACUUAUGGAUACAUGUUACAGGUUUUUAUUUGCAGGUUCUGCUCAUUAUUUUCUUAAAAUUUUGCGAUGUUACUAACAUAUAAUUUGUUAAAUAGUGUGAAAUAAUUUUUUUUAUCUCUAAACACUUGGGCAAUUAGAGAACGGUAUUUUUAUAUUUUUAUAUUUUUACAUUCAACACUCCUCAUCGCGUCUUGGCUCGAAACUUCUGACGUCUGGAUUCGAAUUUUUUUUUGAUUAAAUAUAAAAAAAAUAAAUAAUACGAGGAGAGUGGUGGAACUGGAACUUCAGGAAUAAAAUAAAUGUUUGUCUCCAAAAACUUUAGAAAAGCUUAAGCUAUCACAUAACAGUGUUUAUAUAUUUUUAUAUUCAACAUAAUUAAGCAAUGUUUUAAGGACCCUUUGGCGAAUUGCAUCUAGCUUUUCUUUAUUCAUGCUUCAAGGAUCCAGGAAACAUAAUAUAGAAUACACACAAAGGGCAAAAGCAACCAACAAUGUGGAUACAUCAGUAACUUAUUCAUGCUACAAACUCCAGUAAAUCUUCUUAGGCUCACAAAACAACACAACAUGAACUUGUUAUCUCGGCAUACGAAGUAGUUAUCUGGAAAAGCACUUUGACAGAAACGCUAUGCGCGUAAUAGAACGCGGGAUAGAUUUGCGACUACAAGUCAUGCUUUCACUGAUCGACGAGCAGAGAUGCUUUCCAAGUACUUGUCAACAUUGUCGAGCCCGCACAGCUCCUUGACCACGGGCAUUGUUGCGGGAACCGCUAGUUCGAAUAUUGAGGGAGAGUUUUCGGACCCAGUCGUGGAAACAUGCACUUUUCUAGCAGCUCUGAUGGCUUGUCUUAUCGCGCAGUGGACUGAAGCAGCAAGAACUAAAGGCGGCUCCCCAGAAGCUGUAUAAGAAAAUGAUAGUAAGCAUGCCGUUCAUUACAUAAUGAGAAAAGAAAGAAAAUUUAAAACUCAGAUCCUAUUAUGUCAAGGUUUUUUUUCUAUUACUAUUGUUUUUUAGAAACUUUGUAUGGGCCGGGCCCUUUAAGCUCCAUUCAAUCGAAAUAACAUUGUUAUGUCAAUUCUUACAGCAGCGUUUUUUUUCUGUUGAUUGGAAUCAUCUUAAUCACACGGUUGAAGAAUGAAAAAAAUGUUGGUGCUAUAAUACCUCGGAAAUGGAAGUCUCAAUGAAAGGUUUAGCGCCGUCUAUGGAAUGGAAAUAAUUUAUAACAGUCCCUUGCAACUCUUUAAGUUAACAGUUUAACGACAAAUUUAGUCCGCUAAGAUCAAACCUGGUUCCAUUUACAUCCUUUAAAUUUCAAUUUUAAUAAUUUACUUUACCUUAAUUGCCUGUAACAGCUAAGACCUUCGACUGGUCGACUGAGUACUGAUUAGAAAAAGUUCGCCCUAUCCGUCUACUUAAUGUAAUUCAUCUAUAACUAAAAGUUUAGAUGUUAACAAGUACGACAUGAUGUUAUAUGCACUUUUCUAAGCUGAACGAAAAAGCCAAAACUGGCAAACAAUCAACAAUACCUUUCGAAGAGAGCACACGCUUCUGGUGAUGUCCGCUGUUAAAGAAUUCAACGUUAAGCUGUUUCGGAAUGGUAUCGACGGUAGGUGGUUUGUAUGUCCAAGUGCCAUCAGUGAGCACUACGCCAUCCGAAUUUGACAAGUGCUCCUCGUUCACGAAAAAGCCAAUUCCUUGAACAAAAGCACCUUCAACCUGAAGGAAACAGAAGAAGAGCAGCAGACAAGGAGCACUUUGGUAAAUACAGAUGUCACUAGAUAAUUUUCAAAGGAUUAGUAGCAAAUUUUGAUGGAUAAAGAAAACACCAAUAUCCACUUUACAGUAGCGCAUAUAAUCUUCACUUGAAAACAUACUCAGCACUUUCAGCCUGUUUGGCCCAGCCCCCAGCCGGAGCUUCUGAAAAAAUGUUGUUUGAGUAGAAGUGCUGUAAAAGCACAAAGAGCUAUUUCACCCUAAUACCCUUUCACUGCGGCAGCAGAAGAAGCUUCAGGAGGCCAAGCCAAACAGAAUUGAAACUUCUACUUUUCAGGUCCAAAAACUCAUUUCAGGGAAACAUGUGAAAAAUCGAACUCCAAUUGGAAGCCCAUUUUGAUGUUUAGUUAUGGAAUUACAGGGGAGCUACUGGCAAUUAAAAGUGAUCUCAGAACCCAAAUAGCAUUCGUAUUGUGUGCCGAACCUGUCCCACAUCCACAGCAGGGUUUAAGCUUUUGCCACAGUCGUACAAAAUAUCACUCCUUAAAAUCGUGGUAGCUCCUGUAAGAAGAUCGAUCUCCACCUGACAAUGCAUACAACUUUUGUGAUGAGAUUGAUAUUUGAUGUAGAUGAGAGAAAUAGUAAGAGCGUUUCUUUAAAGAAAAAGGAUACAUAAUAAGAGAAUAUGCGCACAUCAAUGAAAAUGGUUAUUACACAGUACGUAUGUACCUCACUUAGAGCAGCUCCAUAGUUUAAAUAGCUUUUAAAUGUGCGAUCAGGGACCCAGUAGGUGCUUGCUGAUAGAUUAACACUUUCCAUACUUGCCUGCCAUGAGGCAAUAGAAAUAUAAACCAUAAAAUAUAUAAGUUUUUUCUUUUGGGAUAAUAAAUCUAUGAUAUGGAGCAAUUGGAACACUUUUGAGUUAUGAGUUCAUAUAAUUCUAAAAGCACAAAAAAAAAUAUUUGAACAAUGGCCUUAUACUACCAAAGUCAAGUUAAAACAACCAUCCAAGACCUAUCACUAGAAGAAUAGACAAAGAUUGAAGAAGACUCCAACUGCUGCGAAAGAAAGUGCAGAAAAUUGAUACAUGUUAAAUAUAAAAAUAUAUAAACACUGUUCUCUAACAGCUUAAGCUUUUAGAGUAUAAUGGUUAUUUUAUAUGGUAUCAGAGCAGGAGGUCCUGACUUCGAAUCACGCCAAACUCCUAGCAUUAUUAAUUUUCUGCCAUUUAAUUCAAGUCCACAUCAUGGGCCUUGCAAAAAGUUUCGAGCCCAGACGUGAGAGAGUGUUAGAUACAAAAAUAUAUAAACACUGUUCUCUAACAGCUUAAGCUUUUAGAGUACAACGGUUGUUUCACAACACACAAAAAAUAGACUACACAAAACUGCAAGAGACAUGUGCACAUACAGCAUUCAAAUAUAAUACAACUAUGUUUUUUUUUAUAAUAUACCCCUGCAAAUACACAAAGCUGCACAAACACCUCUGUAAAGUUGAUACUAGUUGGGAUGCCGCUGAAAACCUCACUUCUUUGCAUGCGUGCCUCUGGCAGGGUGCAAAAGCAGCUUAUGCAUAUAUAAGCUGGCAGAGGCACAAAUGCAAACACAUAUGGUUUCUGAGGCACGCAGGGAAACACCAACAUUUCAAAGGCGUCUAUGCAAUUUUGCAUUGUUGAAGGGGUAUAUACAAAAUAAACCUUUAAAUAUACUAUAAAAUCAUAAUGGUUACCUGAGCUAUUAAAGUACCCCAUGAAACAGAGCCCCCUAGUUCUUGCAGCCUUUCCUUGAGGGGCAUUAAUCUCUCAACCAAAAUACCACACGACAAACGAACUGCUUCGCAGCUUGAUUCAGAUGUGGUGCUCCCAGCAGUCAGUCCUCCUUGAAUUAAACUUAUAGUAUCGGCCUGAACAACCCGAACCUUCUCUAGAAGGUUCAUGCUCCCAUCCUCCCACAACUUCCCUAGACCGAAUGCUGCCAUCUGCUUCACUUUAGUCCACAACCCUUGUCCUAUUUCAAUUCCUCCAACCUCAACAACGACCGAACCAUCAUUUAAAACUGAAACUUUCCCAGGUGUUGGCCUUAAUGUCACUUCAUACACAGUGGGCAUACACGAAAUACCCCGUUUUUUCCAUUUAUUGGCGCAAUUGAAGUUUUUAAUCAUUUCAACAUGCUGCUGAUAGGUUGGAGAUAACACCAGCUCAUCGAACACAGAAGGUAAAGAAUAUGAAGAAGCUUCUCCAAAGUUACCUUGAUAAUACAACGUGAGACUCUCAAAGGUGUGAAGAUUCUUUCUCCGGAUAUAAUUGGCAUCAAGAGAGAGAAUUGAAGCCACAUGUUCGAUAAUAGCUUCAGCAAUAUAGGACCCUUGUAAAUGUCCAGGAGCCCGCAUUGCUGACUUGGAUAUGAGAUUUGUUUUGCACAAUUUCACAUCACAAGAAAAAGCACCCCAAUUGUAUCCUUUUAGACUGCUUAUAAUACACUUGGGUAAUAAUGGGCUAAAAUCUUCUGAUAUUCCUGCAUUAAUUCUCAGAUCAAUGUGCAAAGCUGUGAGUUUCCCCUCAGAUUUGAAUCCCACAGAGUACUUCACUUUCAUUGGAUGUCGCGCGCCUACCAUUAUCAUAUCGGUUUUGCGGUCCAUGUACAUUCGAACAGGGCGGCGCAGUUUAUAUGCUGCGAGUGCACAUGCAGCAGCAACCUGACAACAGAAUAUUUCAAAUCAGUAGUUGCUUGAUUUUUUCAUAUCUUUAGCUGAUUCAGAGAAAGCUUUCUGCCCAUAAGUAGAAAGUCGCCCCAUAUCAAACUUCAAACACCAUAGGUGAAGAGUGAAUGAUUUAUGUUCAUUAGGCACUUGGUGCCUGUUUAGCCUGGUUGGAGCUUCUAUAGAAAUGUUGAUUGAGCAAAGUUGCUCAGAGUGGCCUUAAUAACAUUUUCCAUUAGAAAUCAUCCAACAACUUUCUGCUGAAGGAGCAGAAACUACAAAUUUGGAGAUUCUGCUUUUGGGUGCUCAUUUAAGCUACUCACCACAGUGUAAGUUCCAAAUUUUUGGUUUGUCAACCGCCUCACUGCAACUUUUUCUCAUUACAUAAGCUAAUUCAGAAGCAGGGACAAAAAGGCACUUAUUGAAGAAUUUUCACAGAUUUUGAGAACUCUAUCUGAAACUAUAAAAAAUACAAAGUCAUAUAUCUAAAGUCAAAGAACAACACUAGUGCAACAUAUCGCAAUUCACUUCUUUUGCACAGUUAAUCUAACUGACAAUUGAUACAAGCAGGGCUACAAAGAUCGCAUACGUUAUUUAAUUAAUUCAAGAAUUCAUAAAUCACACAUUACCAAAUAUAUUAUUCAUUAUCUAUUUAUUAUUCUUAUUCUAAAAGGAAGGGAAAUAAUAAUUAAUUAUGGAUUUUUUUUAAAAAAAAAUCAUCAUAUUUUUACAUUAUUACCAAACAAGUUCCAGAUUUCUUUCAAGCUCACGGAGUUUUUUACCAAAUUCUCAGCUUUUCUGCUUUAACGAAUUGAUCCCGAACACCAAAUUUGUGACUAUGGCCAUAAGAAUACUUCAUAAGCAACCUUGACUCAUGAGUUGUUGCUUGCCUACCUAUCAGAUAUCUGAUUAGAUAAAUCCUCUCGUAGACUUUUCUACAAUGGGAUCUUUAUCGUCGAAAGGCUAUUAUUUGAUGCAUAAAGAGAAAGUGUCAAACAAUUUUUCAGUCAUAGCUGCCAUCUGCUAAAAAAUAUAAGAAACAAAUGCAACUAAAUUUUCGUGGUGAGAGAGAGAGAGAGAGAGACUCACAGUAAUUGCUUUGGAUGUCUUCCCACCAAAACCUCCUCCAACUCUUCUUGUAAUAACACGGACAUUGUGGAAGGGGAUGCCAAGGCACUUUGCAAUCACACUCUGCGUAAGCUCAGUGUACUGAGUUGAACAGUAAACCACCAUGCAAUUAUCUUCAUCUGGAAGAGCUAGAGCUGUUUGUGUCUCCAUGUAAAAAUAAUACUGUGAACCAAGAUUUACCUGGGCAAAAAACAACAACAUAAUAAUUAACUAUCGACAUAUUGGGUGCAAGAUAAAAAGAACUAAAAGCAAGUUGAUCAGAAGAAACUCAACUACUGAGUGAAAUUUGCCGGUGCAAUUCACAACGAUAACAAUAUUCAACUGAAAGAGAUGGAGUCAAUCACUCACCAAAAGACAAAGUAUUGUUGGCUCAGUAAUAAAACUAGUGAUGCAUUAUUCUUCUGAACUUCUCAUUAAACUAGUUUUGUUUGAAUUACUCCAGAAUGAUAACAGAAACAAAAAGAAGCUAUUUUAAGAUCAAACAAGAGCGAAGCAACACAUCAAUUUUAGAGUAGUGCUUCUUUAUGAUCAAGGACCAUAUGUAGAAGCAAUUAGAUUGCUUUACUUCCAAAAUGGUUUCUACUGAAAUAGAUAGCCUAAGUUUGCAGUACAUCAACGGUUAUCUCGCAUUCAAUAUCGAUUUUGAGCUAUUAAAUUAUGGUUAGAUGUCAACAAAAAUGGAUAUUGAAAAGCACCUCGCCUGAUUGAAUUGUUCGAUCAGCUUCUGCCAUUCCUUUGGAGAAAUCACCUACUGGUUUAGGAUUAAGAGGAGGUGGAAUUUGGAAAUAACUUUCUCGUCUAAUUGCAUCUUCUACAGUUAAAAUUGGUGGUUCCAAAUUUUCCAUGUCAUAGUCAACAAUAGCCUGCUUAGCAGCUAUGUUGGCGAAUCUCUGAGUCUCUGCAAUCUGAAAGGACACAGUCUAUGUCAGCCAUAACAACAGAAGUAGCAUUUAGCCAGAAAGAAGGAUUCAGAUGACAAAAGAAAAAAGGUUACCCACUAUUACAUUGGCAUUUGAAAUAAAAACAUAACUAGAUAAGGGCAUUUGCAUAAUCAUCUAUUCAUGUAUAUACCUCUGUGAAAUCUUAAUUUUCAUACAUACCCUGCGAAAGUAUAAUUUCUUACAAGGGUCAUCCAAUUUCACGGGAAGAAGUUGGUUUCCUAUUAGAAAAAGUUCUCUAAGCCGAGCAUUACCGUAAGUAGUCAGGUAUGUUUUCGAAGGGCAUAUACAGCAAUUCAUAUUUUACGGAACAAACAGGUUAUUAGAUAACCUUGUACGGGUGGUAGAGAUGUCAAUAUCUCGAAAAAAAUAAUAAGAUAAAGAAAGAGAUACCAAAAUGCCUAGUGGUUCUCCAGCAUACUCAGUAAGCAAAUCAGCAAACAGCCGUUCCGAUCCAAACAUAAAGAUUGAUCCAAUGUUUUCUCCACCGCUUGGAAUGUCUUUAGCAGUGAAAACACUAACAAUUUUCUCUGAUGCUAGAGAAUUGUUAAACUUGAUGCCUCUUACGUGAGCAAGGGCUCUCGUGCUGUAGAUAAAAGCUCCAUAGAGACAGUCCUUUGGAGCAGGAAUAUCAUCCACAUAUACAGCUUCACCUGCAUAACUUAAUCACAUAAGUAGUGCUAAUGAGGAGACAUUUCACUUCAAUGAAUUCUGAAGGUGUCAGAUAGAAACAUUUAUGCACAAAACAUUGCUUGUCAAAUGAUAUGGCCAGGCAAGACAUGAGGCUGGGAUUUCAAACCAGGCCUUUAUAUUUAGAUUGAAUGUUGGUGGUUUGUCCGAUAUGUUCCGACAACAUCAUAGAGGUUUCCUUAUGUAGCCUUAUUAUAGCCAAACCAUAACAUUGCUCCACUGAUAUCCAUAACGGAGAAACAAUAUGAGGGACUACCAUGUAAACAACAAGAAUUCCAGGAGUUAUAUGCAAUAUUCAAAGAUUUAAAGAACUAAUAAGCAAGAAAUCCUAACAAAAUGAAGAUCCUCAAAGAUGCAAGGAGAUACCAGAAGCUUGGAUUUCUGCUCCAGCUUUCUUUGUUGGCUCCCCAACAGGGAGAUAGCCUUUGCCGAACUCCACCUCCUGCUGUGAAGAAAAAUGCAAAUCAUCGUGAUCAAGAUUUACAAUAUUUGAUGUCAUAUUGUUUUCACAGUUGUUGACACCGCCAUCUGAGUAUUUAGCACUAUCACCAUUAGAUAGAACAGUCUUCCUGGGCUCUGUCAAUUCUUUAGCGAGCGGGCAGAGAAAGCUGAAUAGGAAACUAACAGCCAAACUUGUUCUAUAUUCAGGAUGCGACGUGCCUUUUGAAGCAACAACUGUUUCUCUAAGCAAUCCGAAUGCUUCAAGCAGAACAGAUGCAGUGACGGCUCUACCCACUAGAAAUUCCUCAACUUUCCUUGCCCUAGUGGCAUGUUGGGUUCCAUAUGCACCAAAAGCCAAUUGUAUUUUAUCCAAAACAAAACCAUCUGAUUCUUUACAUUGAGAAAUCUGCGCUAGAAAUGCACAAUUGAGAUAAGCCACAGCAUUGCCGAUGGGUCGAGGGGCUGCUCUGUAUGUUUCAAAAAGCAGGUCAGUCCCUGCUAUACUCCAAGAAGGGAUAAAUAUGCUCAAAAGUAGGGUUUUAUAAUCAAAUGGAGGCCUCACCAAAAAUUCUUCCAGCGUAAGAGUUACCCUCUCUGAAGAUGUUUGGAUACAAACAGUAGAACCGGCUGCGAGAAGUAUUGUGACUAUGUCUGAGGCGAAUUCAGAUCUUUGAGCCAUCAUUAUAUUUCCUCCUAAGCUGGCUGUAUUUCGAACAAAUGGCGAGGCCACCUUAUUCAUGUGAUCAGCGAUUUUCUUGAAGAUCACUGCUCCAUUAUUCUCUUCUCUAAGCACUUCGAUGGCUGUAGAAAUUGUCACAGCUGCUCCAAAUUCGAUGCCUAUGUUAUCCUUUUUGAUAACUGAAAGCUCAGGAAUCGCUUGGAGGUCAAUAUAUUUAUCAUACAAGUCCGUAUCUUUAUAAACACCAGAACUAGUGUUCCCCACUACCAAUUUGACUUUUCUUUCGUCAAAUGCAUUAGAAUUCAGUAACUUAUAAAGUUCUUCAACACUAUCAGGGCGAUACCAGCCCUUUUCGAUGGAUGUAAGCUUAGCUUCAUUCGAAACACCUGAUGAGGAUCUGAUCUCGGUUUUUAAAAAUUCUGGGAAGGUGCAGACUCCGCCGGAAGAAUAGCGGGGCAACUUGGUAGUUUUCAAAUCCUUAUCCCCUUUCUUCCAAAAAGAAUUCAAGCCCAAGUCUUCCAAAUCCACAUCAGUUGCGAAACUCUUGCAAGCAUCUAGAAUGGGUCGGUAACCGGUACAUCGACACAAAUUGCCUUGAAUAGCUCUUGCCGCCUCAGAGACUGUGAGCUUUGAGAACCCGUCUGGCGGCUCAGGUCUAUCGGUUUUUUUAUCUGCAUUAACAAGGGCGGAGAAAAGGGACAUGCACAUCCCGGGGGUACAAAAACCGCACUGCGAGGCAUGAAAGCCGGCCAUCCUUUGGUGAAUCGAAUGGAAGCCAUCCUUAACAUUUCCAAGACCCUCGGUGGUUGUAAUUGAGUAGAAAUUUAUACUGCAAAGGAGCGUAAGGCAUGAACUUGCAGAAAAUUCUUCAACUAGGUCGGCGAUGGGAUCAUAUUUUGACAGAAAAACAACACAAGCUCCACAGCCACCUGCAGCAGGGUCAAGAACUGAUGAAUAAUUCACAAGCAUUUCUACAUUUCACUAAAUAAAAAAAAAAAAACAAUAGCAACAGACAUUUAUGUAAACAACAAAAGAGGGAUAAAUCGAGUGGAAGUAAUGUUUAUCCAACAAAAUUGGGGUCUAAAGAGAAAAACAGUAAGCAGAUAAGUUAAACAAGCAAAACAGUCUAAUGGAAGGAUGAAAAGAUGAUGAUAGGUAGAAGCACAGAAGCAUAGGAGAAAGACGACACGCAACCCAUAGGCAUUUCAAUGCUAUAUAGAUACUGAGGGAACCUCGACUUUACCAUUUCCUAGAAAAAGUGGAAUAGAUAUCCACGGCCGAGGAACCUCCCCUUAACCCAUUUCAAGAGUAAAACUUUGUCAUAACUUAUAAUCAUCUUAAAACUUCAUUUAGACACAGUAUAUAGGCAUUAAGGUCUGAAGAAAAGAUGUUCGCUCUUUUUAAGUCUAAUAUUCCCUCCCAUCUAUGAGUUUGGUUUUGCUCAUAACUUGAACUGAAUUUGGUGAUGUUUUGUUUACAAUACAAAAAUUGUCGUAUAGAUAUCCAUAUAAUUUAGUACGAGUACAAACAAAGCAUAAAAUUACAUGAAAAACAUAUACGCAAUUGAAUAGUCAUGUGAUAUAUAAAUAGAGACUAUAACUCAAAAAAUAUAUAUAAAUAGGCUGAAAAUAAAAUGAGCGAUAACACUAAUCCAGGGGUUUUCUGCAACAGCAUUUUAUGGAUUUAAGUUAUCCUAGAAAAACAGGAUCGACCACCACAUGAACCCCUUAAAUUUUUGUCUAACUUCGCAAAAACAAAGAAGACACAUUGAGCUAUCGCUAGUUAUUCGUUCAUUCCCCAACCAAGCAGUAAAGAUUAUUCAGCUCUUAAUCAUGUUAUGCCCCACAUACAGUAUGGUUGAAAAUGCAACAUAAUUUUAAAUUCCUUAGAAAUCAGAUAUAAAAUAUGACCUCCAAAAACUCUUCUCUAUAAGUAUGUAAGUGGUGAUUUCACAGAAGAAUAUUAGCUUUUUUUUUCCCCCCUCAACAGCCCUGAUUACUGAUUACUGUAAACCAACGACAUUUCUAACAAACAUGUUGUAAACUGCACAAAUAUGAUAAUCAUAAUCAUCUAUUGUCUCCUAGACUCAGAUUAUGAAAUCCAGUAACUGGAUGAUUAACCUCCAACCCCUUCACUAGAUAUCACAUUGCACGAAUAUCCGAUAUCACGCCACGCAUUUUAUUUAUGCCUAUUCUACUUGCUUCUGCUUCUGCUUCUGCUUUCAGCUGCAGUAGUCUCCAGUAUGAUCGGAGCUUCUGCUACAGCUGAAAAGCUGAUAUCAGAUACUAAAAUCCAAAAGCAGAAGCUCCAAUUGGUGCUCAACCACACAAAAAACUAUCUAACACCAAACUAAUUUACUAAAAACAACACGAAACAACAACAAAACCAACAAAAUGAAUUCGAAACUCAAAUCCCUCAUCACCUUCUCCGCAUCCGAGCUUGGGGCCUCUGUAGGGUGUCCGCGUCCGUAUAAACUCCAGCAGCGUCGUGGACGGAUCCACCCCCGACACCUCGUACCUCUCGCCAUUAAUGGCGAACACCAACCUCUCGACCCUCCUCCCCAUCUCCUCCUCCUCCUCCUCGACGACGAAACCCUAAUCAGGUUCGUAGCGUCCCCUACCUCUGGGAUCUCCUCCUCCCCCAUUUUAUACGCGCAUGGAGAGAUCGAAAGAUCCAUGGAGGAAUAGUGCGUCGUCGAUGAGGGAUUCAAAGUGAUAGCGAUGCAGUUGCUCUCGGGGGCGGGGGAGGGGAACGUUUUGAUUAAAAAAAAAAAGCACGGAGACCCCUUCAACUAUGGACUAUUUUAAAAUAUAACUCUCGGUUAUUUAUUUAUUUAUUCUUAUUAAUUUGGUGUGUUAAUAUUCUCUUUUUGGGGCUCGGAAUUUUAUACAUAUUUUUUAUACCAAUUAAAUUUAUAUAGUUUGAUAUACAUCAAGAAUUAAAGUGUCUAUCGACAGACAAUAUAUGUCAUGCGAGUAGGGCUAGAAUACUUGUAAAAGUAUCAUGGGGGUGAUACCUGUGUGUUUUUAGCCCUUGGAUGAAGAGAUGUGAGGUUGAGGUAAUGGUGGUAGGUGGUGGUAAGUGAAAUAGUAUUUAAUCCAAGGGCUAUUAAUAAUUAAAAAGUAGAUCCAAUGGCUUAAAACCUAAUAGCACCAUGAUGGUGAUACUUGUAAAAGUAUCAUAGCUCAACUCUGUGUCAUGCCAUAUCGUAUCAACUCUCGUACCGAUGGCACAACUCAAAAUUCUUUAUUUUUUAAAUUAUUAAGUAAUUUAUCAAUAAAGCUCGAAAAAAUUAAUAAAGAAACAUAAUAAGCAAUUAGAAUAUUUUGUUACUAAAAAAAAUAAAUAUUUAAUGUCAUUAUGUGUCAAUGCACAUAUUUUUUUGACCAACACGCACCGUAUUGUAUUGUACCAGUAAAUUUUCGGUACAUUUCUAUGCCACGACACUUAAAUUUUUGAUAUACAACAGAAAUUUUUAAAAAACUGUUAUUAUUAGUGUACUUGCAAUUAUUCCGGGCCAAAUAAUGAUUGACAACUUAAAAUAUAUAUAUAUAUUGGUAGGAAAAAAAAAAUUUCUUUUUCUCAAAACAAACAACUCAAAUAUAAGGUUAUAAGUAUUCCACCAAUCUAUACCAUACAAGGUUGUUAAUUUAAAAAAAUAAAAUUAAAGUUGAGAAGGUCUACACAAUCUUUUAACCAAUAUUUGCAGUAAAACGUAAAUUGCACAUCUUAAUCAAAAAGUAGAUGAGUUGAAAAUCAUGAACUUCAAAUUCUAGAGACUUUAAAUAUUUUAGAUGAAGCCUAAUAACAUUAAGUUUAAAUGUCUUAUAAUUGAGAAUAAAAUAAAAGCGCAAAUACGUAAAUGCUUCGAUCGAACUCUCGUAAAUUUUAAUUUUAUUAUCUAAAAUUUGCAACAUAGGCUUUUAAUUUUAUUAUCUAAAAUCUGCAACAUAGGCUUUGAAUUUGGAAACUUGAAUUGCCAAAAUUUGGUUCUCUGUCUCAAUAUUUGAGAAUUCAAAAAGAUAUGACAGGUUAUGACCUGGAUCAAUAGAAAUAUAUAUGUUUUUUAGUAUUUUCAAUAAAGAUAAUGUCUAAAGUGCUUUUUGUUGAAGCCGACGAGCCAAAGCACGUCACACAUGACACAUGGGAAUAGAACUAAUUGACUUAGUUUGUAGCCCGAGUUGGCUAUUUAAAAUAAGGGAAAAUUUCAAAAACCCUCCGUGGUUUCGUAGUUUCUCACUUUGACCCCCUGUGGUAUCAAUUUGCCCUUCUGUGGUUUCGUUUUUAUCUUUUCAGUAGCUUUUUCGUUAACAUUUUAUUAAAUUAUAUACAAAAAAACUUUAGAUACACAUCUAGAUUUAUCAAAUAUUCAUUUUAGUACCAUUUAAUUUUAACUUUAUCAUUGAUUUAAGAAAAAAAAAUAAUAAAAUUGAUAAGAAAAAGAGAAAAAAGAAACCACAGGGGAUAAAUUGAUAUAUUUUAAACCAUAAGGAGGCAAAAUAAGAAAUUAUGAAAUCAUAGGGGGUUUUUUUAAAGUUUUUCCAAAUAAUUAAAGUAGCAUGUGGGGUUGAGAUUUCCCUUUUCUUACGUGAAAAAUAGCAAGCACAUGCUGCGACUUACUCGUGUCUUUUUGUUGCUGCGAACUCUUUUUGUGUAGCGUUUGAAGUAGUAUAUUUACGCAAGUGAAGGAUUGGACUUUUUUUAUCACGACCACGGCCACGACCACGACCAUGACCACGACAACAAUAAUUAUUUUACCAAAAACAUCUACUUGAAAAGAUUCUCAUAUGUUACAAAAGAUUUACUGAUUGAUAUCAGAAAUCCAAAAUUUAAAACUUUAGUUAUUUUAUAUUUUUAAUUAAAUUUAUUUUUUAAAAGUAAAUGAAACAGAUAAUAUACUUUUUUUUUCCUCAAAAAGAAAAAGUCCUCAAAUGUUUUGACUUUAGUGUGUCAAUUAACUUGGGGAUACAAGAUUAAAAAAAACAAAAUUUCAUUUUAUUGUUUCUAGAGAAAAACUGGAAGGAUGAAUACAAUAUACUAGUUCUCCUAAACUUGUAAAUACUUUGGGCAAAUAUAUUGUUGGGUGAGAAGCAUCAUUUUUUUUUGGGGAAACUUCAAAUACCCCCCUAGUGGUUUCGCACUUUCUCACUUUACUACCCUGUGGUUUAAAGUGUAUCAAGUUAGUACUCUCUGGUUUCGCACUUUCUUACUUAAGUACCAUGCGGUUUCAAGUGUAUCAAGUUUGUACCCUGUGGUUUUAUUUUUGUAUCAAGUUAGUACCCUGUGGUUUCAAAUUUUCUCUUUUUAUUAUCCAUUUCGGGGUAUAUAAUUUAACGAAAUAUUAAACCACAUGGUAUUAAAGUGAGAAAGUGUGAAACCACAGGUUACUAAAGUGAAAAACUGCGAAACCACAGAGUACUAACUCGAUACACUUUAAAUCAUAGGGUACUAAAAUGAGAAAGUGCGAAACCACAGGAGGGUAUUUGAAGUUUCCCCUAUUUUUUUUUUUCAACCAACUUUUCUUUAUAAUAGAUUGAGUAAUUCCAAAAUGGUUCGUUUUUAAGGCUCAAAAUCACAAUUUUAUUUUCUCUAUCACAAAGGCUAAAGAUUUUUUUUUUUUUUUGCUGAUUUAUCGUAACUGAAAGCAAAAGCAGAAGUAAGACUAAAUAAACUCUUUAUCGAACAUUACUACACCCUACAUACCAUAAUUUUACUCAAGUUCUGUUAAUAGAAAGCUUCAUAAUUUUUUGCCAAUUUGUUGUAGUUGAAAACAUAAAGUAGAAACAAGACUAAAUAUGCUUUCAUCAAAUAAAAUCAGACCCUAAGGACAUCAAUUUUUCUUAGCAGGCUGAAAGUUCUAUCAUUGAAAAGUAACAAGAUUUUUUCUGCUAAUUUGUCGGAACUGGAAAGCAAAAGCAGAAGUAGAAAUAAACGGGCUCUUCAACAAAUACCAUUACACCCUACAAACUACAAUUUUACUCCUUUUAGUAGGCGGAAAAUUCUGUCACCGUAAAGCUCUAGAACUAUUAUCGUAAUUGAAAGCAAAAGCUUAGGUAAAACUAGACAAGCUCUUCAUCAAACAUCACUAUACCUCUGGGGCUCUAAUUUUACUCUUCUUAGCGUGCUAGAAGUUUUGUUACCAGAAAACUCCAUAAUUUUUUUGAUAAUUUGUCGUAACUAAAAGUAGGGCUAAACAUGCUCUUUGUCAAACAUCACUGCAUCAUCGAGACCGCAAUUUUACUCUUCUUAGCAUGCCUGAAGUUUUGUUACUGAAAAGCUCCAAAAUUUUUCUUUACUAAUUUGUACUAACUAAAAGCAAAAAAAGAAAUAAGACUUGACAAGAGCUCUCUCAUAUAUCACUACACUUUCGAAACCAUAAUUUUACUCUUGUUAGCAUACCUGAAGUUCUGUUUUGAAAAGCUCCAGAAUUUUUUUGGCUAAUUUUUAAUAACCAAGAGUGAAAGCAGAAGCAAGGCUAAAACAUGCGACAACAAUAUUGUAUAAUAGAGACCGCAAUUAUACUCAUCCAAGCAGGUUUGAAGUUGUCAUUGGAGAGCGUGCCCCAAUCUAUUGGGCCGGGUUUGGGCCCAAAUUUUACUCGGACAAAUAUUGUUUCGGGGGCCCAUCUUGGCAUAAUCAGACCCAGGACGUUUUGAAAUCGGGUCCUUAGCUAUGUCUUUUUUAAUUGUCAUUUUUUAUUUUGAAAAAAAAAAAAUCUAAUAAUGAUUCUAUUAAAUUUAGCUAUUCCGAAUGCUUUUUCAGCAAAUGGAACUGAGGAUUUGGUUAAAAUAUUAGUAACUGAUCAUUUUCUAAUUUAAAGUAUUAAAAAAUAAGUUAAAUUAAACAAAUAAAAUUAAAAAGUAGUAAUUAGAAAUGUAAGAGGGCUCCUUACAAAAUAUUCUAUAGUUGAGGGGGUUUCCGCACAGUUUUCACCCUAAUGGCCUAAUGGGCCUAAAUCCCCGCCUCUUUCUCUCUCCCUCUCUCAUCCCCUUCCUAUCUCCCUCGCGCGCUCACCCCAUCGCCAUGGGAGCUCUCCGCCUCCCUUCGUCUCCUCUCUCCCUCCUCCUCUCCCCAUCCACCCCUAUCCUCCGCUCCUCCCCCACCCUCCGCCUCCUCCGCCCCUCCCUCUCCGGCGGCGGCGGCGGCGGCGCCCCCGGACGCGGCGGCGUCUCAGCCCGGAGCCUCACCAAGGACGCGGCUGCAGCGGCGGCGGCGGCGGCGGCGGCGGCGGAGGGGGCGGAUCGGAAACCCUCGUCAUCGUCGGGGUACGAGGGCUCGGUGACCCCCCGGUCGGUGGACUUCAACGCGUGGUACCUCGACGUCAUCGCGAGCGCCGAGCUCGCCGACUACGGGCCCGUGCGGGGGACCAUGGUGAUCCGACCCUACGGCUACGCGAUUUGGGAGGCGAUUCAGGUACUACUCUUCUCUUCGAUUGAGUUCGUUUAAUUUGCUUAAUUAUGCUUUAGAACACUGAAUUUACGGGUGUUUUUACUGGAUUAGUCACCAAACUCUCCACUGAGUUCUAAAUUUUGUAGCAAUCCCUAAACUCAUGUUUACAAACAGUAGUCAACAUUAAGUAUGGUUAACAGUAAUCUGGGUUUCUGUUUAAUUGGCCUAAUAAUCCUCUUUUAAGCAGAAAAUGUUGCACAUUUCAGUCUCAGCUAGAUAUAGGUGGAGAAAAUGGGAAAAAAUUCUUAAUCUUUGAGUUAGAAAUCUUUGGAUGCCGUUCUCGUGGUGGUUAAUUUUGAUGGCAAUGCUCAUGAGAGAGUGAUUCAAGAUAUAUAGUUCUUUCUAACUCUCUGUGCUUUCUUUGCAUUGUUUCUUAAUUUAGGAUUAGAUUUGUCGUCUAAUCAAGUUUCAUGUAAAUUUGGAAAUAAAGAUCUGUGUUGCGGUUAGCAAAAAUAUUAAGAUUCUAUCAAAAUUCUACCAUCUUUUAAUAAGAGUGCAGUGAUUGCCAUAGAGCCUGAAGUUUAAUGGUGCAUUUGGGAAAAAUAAAGUACUGGGUUCGCCCCUUGAGAUCAAUCUAGUAAUCUAUAAUUAAACCUGAUUUGAACUAUAUGGUUUUAUUUACUUGUUUCUGUGGUGUUCAAUUAGGAUUUUUUGAAUGUAAAGUUCAAGGAGACUGGGCAUAGCAACAUGUACUUCCCUCAGGUGUGCUGUGUAUUCUUUAUUUUUGUUCUUCUGCCGUUUUUGUUUUAUCUUAUUUCUUUUAAUAUGUUUGGCUUAUAAGUUUACUUUCAAAGUUUCAUGCAUGUAUGUGACGUAUCCUUCUUAAUUUCACUUUUUUUUUUUCCCCUAGAUCAUAGGCUUUCACAGUGAAUUUCUGGAUACAUUUUACGGUUCAGUCGUUAGAAGGUUCUGCUCAUUAUCUCCUUAUAAUUCAUGAGCUAAUGUGUUAGAGUAGGCAGCUAUUUAGUGAAGGAUACAUAAGUGAUGCAUAAGUGAUACAUGCUUUGUGGAACCUUAUGUCAAUUGCAACUAGCUUUUAGUUUUGUAAACUUUGAUGAAACUACAACUCAUAUUCAAUUAGCUAGUAUAAUAGCUUUUGAAAAAUUUGUAUACAUCUGUAUAUAGUUCUUACCAAAUAAGUGGAUUGUUAAACUGUCUAUUCUGCUCGCUCGUUUGGCCAUCCUCAUGCAGUCUGAAACAGGGCUUAAAUUUCUCUUUUCUAACAUAGGCAUGUCUGUGUUUCCUGUAGAAAAGUCUAUCAAAGAUCAUCCUCUUCUUAAUUUAGCAAGAUAUUGAGAUCGUUGCUCCUCCCUAUUAUUUCUCUUCUCAGGAAAGAUCUAAGUUCUAGUCUAUAAGAGCCUUUCAAUGACUCACUUGGUUUUGGACAAGUUUAGUUUAUGUUCAUUAAGUCUUAUUUCACACGGUGGAUACUCAAUCAUGUUGUUCUAUCAAUGUUUUUUUGUUACAUUUGCUUUGGCUUGAUUCUUUUGCAUUGCGGCAGUUUAUUCCAUACUCAUUUAUUGAGAAGGAAGCCAGUCAUGUAGAAGGGUUCAGUCCUGAGCUUGCAUUGGUGACGAUUGGAGGAGGGAAGGAACUUGAGGAGAAACUUGUGGUAAAUUUCCUUCUUUUAGAGAGUUUUACACCUCUUUUAGCAAAAUUUUCAUUUCUUUCUUAUUUGAUUGAUGGACUGAGAUUGAAGUUAUUUUUACUUUUGAUUUUUCAUUUUUGAGGGUUUGAUAGGUAAGACCGACAAGUGAAACCAUCGUAAAUCACAUGUUUACUCAAUGGAUUCACAGCUACCGAGACCUUCCUCUCAUGGUUAACCAGGUUAAAAUCUUUUGAAGACUUCUGCCUUUUUAUUUAUUUCCUGCAAAAUUAUUUUCUUUUGAUUGUGCUCCAUUAAAAGCUCAGUGGGCCAAUGUGACGAGAUGGGAAAUGAGGACCAAACCUUUUGUUAGAACCCUUGAAUUUUUGUGGCAAGAGGGUCAUACAGCUCAUGCAACUCUAGAGGAGGCUGAGGAGGAGGUCUGUACUUCUUACUCUUUUUUUUUUCUUUUUAAUGUUUAUUCACAGUUCCUGCAAUUAUUAUACUUUGUUUUAUUAUUUUUUGUUGCUGUGCAGGCGUUACAGAUGAUUGACAUCUACACGAAUUUCGCUUACGAACAAGCUGCAAUACCUGUUAUUCCAGGUAGAAAAUCGAGAGUUGAGACAUUUGCUGGUGCCAAUCGAACUUACACUAUUGAAGCUAUGAUGGGUGACAGAAAGGCAUUACAAGCUGGAACUAGUCACAACCUUGGCCAGAAUUUUUCUCGUGCCUUUGGAACACAGGUUAUUGUUCGCUAUAAUUAUACUUCCAAUUGACUUAGUUGUUCGGAGAGAACUUUAAAUGUUCACUUUCGACUUUCGUGUAAUGCAAGAUUACUGCUAAACUCAAUUGUGUUUAUAGCUCAUCAUCCUAUCUAGUUCCUGCUGACUACAUCAACUUAGGCUUGUUAUUUAAGAGUUUGGAUGCAAGUUGUGAUAUAGGACUUUUUGGUUGAAAUUUUUGGUGGACCGAGCAAGGUUCAAAUGGUUUGGAUGGCUGUGAACAAAAGGAACCAUAUGAUAGGCUUUUGAAGAAAUUAUAAAUAAAACAAAUUUUCCUGUAGGUUUUGUAAUUUUUUACUGCUGGUUAUGUAACAGUAAAUGAUGAUCUGGUUAAGUUUUGGUGUGAAAUUGUGUGACUUGAGGAUUGAGGGGAUGCAAAUGGUGUGUAUAGAAAAAUGAAAGAUUUUCACAGUUUUACAGUUUCUUUGCUUUUGUUCUUCUUAUUGCUUUGCUGGAUUUUUCAAGUUUUUCAAGAACUUAUCCAUUUAGUACUAAUACUUAUCAUAAUGGUUUGUGGCAUGUACACAUGGCUUGGGUAACUGAUUGUACACAUGACUUACUUUGUGCAUAUUUCUCUGAUUAGUUUAUGUAUUGCAGUUCACUGAUGAAAACGGACAAAGGCAAUACGUAUGGCAGACUUCUUGGGCUAUCAGCACCAGAUUUGUUGGUGGCAUCAUCAUGGCUCAUGGAGAUGAUGCUGGUCUAAUGCUUCCUCCAAGGAUAGCACCCAUACAAGUAGGUUUGAGUAGAUAUGGGGAAUCCCACUGUACUUUCCAACCUUCAUUGCAUCUGAAGGAUAUAAUUUUAUCAUCCGAUAUUCUUUAGUUAGCCCUUUUAGUUGUGAUCCUACUUUGGUACAACGACAUUAAUAUAGUUAGCUGAUGCAUUUAUGGUGCCUUUCUUACUCAAAUUAUUUGCCCUGCAUUCGUGGGAGAGUUUUCCUGAAAUAAAAGAUGCUUAUAUAGAAGGCAGAGUAGAAUAAAUGCAAAUUUUGGAAAAAGCAGUUUGAUGCAGCUGUAAUGAAUCUGAAAAAUUUAGCUUAGCGACAUCAGAGGAUGACUCGAAGUUCUUAUUGGAGGGACAUUGUAGAAAAGAAAACCAGCAUAUGUGUACGCAUUUAGCCUUCUUUGAUCACACCAUUAUUUGAAAACACUACUUAGAAGAUAAUCAGAGAUAUGUGCUUACGAUUCUUGGUCUAUUAGACUCACGAGAAUAUCCUGAUGUAUAUAGAAUGAACAUCCUGUUGUAUAUAGAAUCUCUAUUCCGUUUGUCUUGGGAUUUUCUUUAUGUUUUCACAUCAGUGGAUGUACUUUAUUGCCAUGUCCUCAUAUGGGAGAUGCUAAUUUUGCUGGUUCUUAUCUGGUGUAUAGGUAGUAAUAGUGCCGAUCUGGAAAACAGCAGAUGAGAAAGCAGGAGUUUUAGAUGCCGUAGCCUCCAUUCAGCAAGUACUCAAAACCGCUGGAAUAAAAGUCAAAGUUGAUGACUCAGAGCAACGAACGCCGGGAUGGAAAUUUAAUUUUUGGGAGAUGAAAGUAAGCAUUUUAUGUCCAUUGAUGUUUUUUCUAUAAUUAUUCAAGAUUACAUUGUAAUCCUUGUGAAGGUAGGACAACAUAUGGCUAAGCGCGGUUAGAGAAUAUACAUAUACACCUGUAUGGCUGUAUAUGUAUGCUCUCUGUAGUUUAAUUUAUCACACAUAUGCUUCAAAAUGGAAAAUUUAGUGAGUGUCUCUUGUUUUCAGUGGUUUCCCUGAUCAAACUAGAGGUUACCAAGGAACCGUGCAUAACACUGAAUAGGGAGCCGCUGAAUACACCUGCCACACCUUAUAUGUGAAAUCGAUGCAUUACCUGAAAUACAAUCAUAAAGUUGAAAGUACGAGAGAUUCCUAUAGGCAUACCGUCAGAGAAACUUCCUUGACUAGCAGGGUAGAUCAAUAAAACAUUUGAUUGCUACUGUAGAAGCUUUUAUAAGUUUGGCAGCUGCCUUACUGAAAUGUUAGAAAAGGUUCUGAGAAAAUUAAUCUUGAGACUUUUUGGUUUUACACAGAUUUAUAUAGCAAAGUCUUCUUAUUCCUCAGGGUAUCCCUUUACGAAUAGAAGUUGGACCUCGCGAUGUAACCAACAGGAGCGUGGUUGUAUCGAGGCGAGACAUCCCUGGAAAGCCCGGCAAGGAUUUUGGGGUUUCUAUGGAGCCUUCAUCUCUAGUAGAUCAUGUGAAGAGACGGUUAGAGGACAUCCAGUCAUCGCUCUUGCAAAGGGCCACAUCAUUCCGUGAUAGGUAAAUUCAAUUUUUUUUGUCUCGCUGAAAAAUUAUAAAUAUGUAAUUAGCUGAAAUGAGAGCUUAUAUUUUUUCUAAUGCCCACCUAUUGAUAGGUUGAUGAAUCCUGCUAGAGAAGGUGCUGCUCUGUGUAAUAAAAUAUUUUUGUUUUAGGAUAAGGCCGUGUUGCGAUGUUAGCUGCAUUCUGUAUGCUAGAUUUUUUGGUUUCGUUGCUUUUGGAGGAAAUGGGGUGAAAUAACCCGGUCUUUCUACAGUAGGUGGUCAUAUAGAAUCAUUCACGACAUCUGGAGUAUAAGACCGAUAAGCUGCGCUAUUCUUGUUGCUUCUUCUUGUCAUUAUAUUCUUGUAAAGGGUAGUCUCUUAUUUUGCAGCAACAUAGUUGAUGUGAGCUCAUAUGGCGAACUGAAGGAGGCAAUUGCCGAAGGGAAAUGGGCACGGGGUCCUUGGUCAGCAAGGUAAGAAACAGUUUUUCUCGGAGUGUAUUACUUUUUUUCCUUUUAAACCAAUCCAUCGAAUUUAGCUAGGAGUUAGUGCCAUAAUUUUAACCAGCGGAUUAAAUCUGUUUGAAUGUUAGUGAUGCCGAAGAGUUAAAGGUUAAGGAAGAGACCGGUGCGACAAUACGUUGCUUCCCAUUCGACCAGCCCGAGGGGCACAAGAAGUGCUUUAUGAGCGGUAACUCAGCCGACGAAGUUGCGAUUUUUGCCAAAUCUUAUUAGUUUCGAUGUACUCUUCAGCAAUCUUAUUAGUUUCGAUGUACUCUUCAGCAAUUUUGCGCAUCACACACGUAAUUUAGCUUUCCUUUUGUUGUUAAUUUAUUGUAAUCCUAGUGGCUGCAUAAUGAUUCAAUUUGUGAAAGAAUUAAAGAAUUAACACCAUAAAGUAAUGAUGGAAUCGAUAUAUAUUUUUCGUCGUACAUUUUGUUUGGGAAGCAUGCUAAAGCUUCAACACGUACUCUAGCAAUAACUUGCUCGUCGCUGACCAUAAGAUUGAAUAAGAUGUAUGCAUACACUCUCUGCUGCUGUAUUACGGCUGAUGAAAUUUUUGCCUUUUUCCCUGCUUGGUCUUUGUAGCGUUGAAAUUCUACAUAAAGUCUCCAGUUCAUUGACUGGAACGACGUUUUUCAUUUGAUCGUUCACGUCCUUAUUUUCUGAUAAGAGAUUACUGAGACUUGUUACCCUCAAACUGCAAUGAACUGCACAAUACUCUUUUGAACCCUGCAAAGCGCGCUCAUCACUCUUGAGGAUUUGAAGCUGAAGUUUCUGUUAUAUGAUGCGCUCGGAUAGCGCGGGCAGCCGCCGGAAGAAGUUGUGCGCCGCUGGCGGCAUCCGAUCCCGAAACAUCGGGUGCCGGAGGUAGUAAAACCCCGCCGCCACCGCCAUCAUCCUCGAUGGGACCACAUAAAGCACCACUGCAACCGCCAGGCACAUCGCCACGAACAUUCCGGUGGCGCGCGGGUCCCUCCACGUCACCAGCGCCUGCACCCUCUCCGCCUGCGCCGCCACGUCGCCCAGCAUCGCCUGCACCCUCGCCCCAACCGCCCGGAGUCUGUCAUACCUCGCCCACACCACCUCUGCGGCCCUCGUGCUCGGCACCGGGUCGAACUCCUCGUCCAGCUCCUCCCUAUCUGCCGUCUCUGCCAUCGACACCCUCACGCAAGGGUGAGGCACGGGCCCCUGCAGGCGUCUCCGGUACCUCCAGGCCCCGACCGCCGCGAAGUGCACCGCCAGCACGGGCAGCAGCAGGUCCGGGUGCCACGCCAGCAGCACGAGCGCGCCGUGCGCGAGCGCUGUCGCCGUCGGGUUCCGCCAAUUCCGAGUGUCCUCGACCCACCGCGCCGCGUCGGCGGUCCACGCCAGCGCGGCCACGAUCCGGUGCCAAUUGGCGCGCACCUUCCGCAUGCUGAACCCGCGGGGCUCGGCUGCAUCCAGGAGCCGCAGCGGCUCCUGCAGUGCCGGGGGGAUCGGGCGGACGUGGUGCAUUGGGGGGAGCAUCGGGAGGCCGUACGCGUGCACCAGAUCCAGCACGGACCCCGCGCGCGCGAAGCGCACCGCGAGCUCGAUCUCCCCCAUGCGCUUGGCGCCACCGGGGAGCAUUAAAAUUAACGGGUAGGAUCCGCGGUAGACCCGAUCGGUCUCGAGGGUCGAGACCCGGAUCCGGACCUUCCCCAUGGGCCGGGAGCACGGGGGUGGGGCGGGGUCCUUGGGCCCGGCGUCGGGAUCGGACGGCGGGGACUCGUCGAAGACGGCGAGGGUGAGGACGGUGCAGGGGUCGUAGACGGGCCACGUGUACUGCUCGUUCCAGGCCGGGUCGAGGGAGUCGGCGACGGUGCGGGUGCGGGCCCACUUGGGCCCGUACUUGGCGACCGCGUAGGCGUCGGUGGAGCCCUUCCCCCGGAGGGUCCGCAUGGGGAGCAGGCCCCUGCAGCCGACCACGCCGAGCUCCACGGCCCCCAGCGGCGCCCGCCACAGCUGGCGCGCCGCGGGGCGGUAGUCGCUGCACGCGUGCGGCGCCUCGUCCGCCACGUGGUACCCCCCGUCCAGGCACGCCCGCACGUGCAGCCUCCCCCCCGGCACGUGACCGUGUCCCUGUCCCGGGCCCCCCUUCUUCUUGACGGUGGGGAGGACGUCGAGCCAGCGCGAGGCUACCGUGCGGUCGUCGACGCGGCGCUCCACGGCGGAGAGGGGGAGCGCGGCCGAGCCCACGGCGGCGGCGGCGGCGUCCUUGCCGGCGCCGCGGAUCUCGAGGGAGAGGAGGAGGCGCUCGUCCUCGCCGAAGGGCUCCGCGGCCACGAAGAUGAGGUCCUCGUUCCACGACGGGGCGCCGCCGCGGCACGCGGCGGCGCGGGUCCGGAGCACCUGAGACCCCAGUGCCGCGCGCACGGCGACGGCGAUCGCGGCGUCGCGCGUCGGCGAGGGGAGCGCGUCCUGGGCCUCGAUCACCGUGACGCGGAGGUACCACAGCUUGGGGGAGACGUAGACCUUGGAGCGCGAGGACCCGGCGGAGGGCGGCGCGUCGGCCUUCCACGCGUCGGCGAAGGAUUCGUCCGCCUGGGUCCCGAUCCACGUGGCGAGCAUCAGUUGGCCGCCGCCGCCGCCGCCGCGGGGGCCCUCGAGGCGGUACCACUGCGGGGCCAGGGGGCUGUCGGGUGGGUCCCGCAGGGGGACCUCGGACGCGUCGAAGCAGAGCGCGCCGAGGAGAUGCCUCUCCUCCCCCUCGGCGUCGUCGGCGUCGGCGUCGUGGUCGUCCUCCUCCCCGGGGGGCAGGUCCCACACGGAGACCUCGAGCGACGCGGCGGGGGCGGCGGCGGGGUCGCCGGAGUAGGGUUCGCGGGCGAAGGCGAAGGUGCGGUCCCACUCGUGGUGGGGCCCCGCGCGCCGCGCCUCCCGCGUGCUGGCGCGGCGCCCGUGCGCGGCCACGCGCACGCGCGGCGCCGCCCCCGCGGGGAGCCCGCGCGCGCGCACCACGCGCACGAACAGGUACUGCAUCUUGUCCACCAGGUCGUACUUGGCGGGCCCCUCCCUGGCGAUCUCCGCCCCCAUCCCCUUCAUCCGACGCGGCCGCUGCGGCGCCCAUUCGGGACCCGCCGCUUCCUUUUCCGGCUCACUUCUUGUCUCCACCGCCGCCGCCGCAAUUGGCUCGGGCGGCGCUUCUUCUUUUGCCUCCAUGUUUUGCCGAUCCGAUUCUUCCGCGGGCUUUUCAGAAUUCUCCGUAGGCACCGCCGCCGGCGCCGUUUCUUCCAAUUCGGAAGUAGCAGCACUUGCAGCUGCGGUUGCUCCGUCGGCCUCGGCCUCGGCCGGUGGCGCUUCCGCAGGCUUCUCCGCAUUUGGAGCCUCCGCCAGCGGCGGUGCUGCAGGUUCAUUACAAUUCUCAUGGACAGAAUUCGGUUCAUCACUACUAUCGUUAGCGGCAGAAUUAUCCGGCUCCGCAGCAGCAGCAGCAGCAGCAGCAGCAGCAGGUGCGGGGACGGGGUCGUCGACAUAAUACACCUUCAAGCCGAUCUCCCCCCUGACCCAGCUGAAGAAGCUCUUCUUCUCCAGCGGGAAGUGCAUCAGCGCCUCCUCGCCCUUCCGCACGCAAAACUGCCGCGAAUCCAACCUCACCCGCCCGAGGAAGUUGUUCCGCCGGCUCGGCCCCACCCUGACGUCGUGAAACACGUCCACCUCCAGCGGCUCGUCGAGGUCCGCCGCGGCCGCGACGUCGAACUCCAGCGCCUCGUUCCACGUCGGGUUGAGGUCGCGCUGCGCCGUGCGGGUCUUUCUGCGUUGCCCGUCGAAGUCGACGCGCACGUAGGGGCUCGACGUGCCGGUGCCGUCCUUCGGGAGGAGGUUCCGGGCCUCCACCACCUCCACUACGAGCUUCCUCAUCGUUGCGGCCAUCUAUCGAACAGUUCGUGUGGUAGUAUAACAAGCCUGUAGAAGUGGAGUCUAUAUAUAUAUACAUACAUAAAAUAUAAAGCAGCUGUUUUGUACCACUUUACUUGUUUAUAUUUUAAUACAUUAAGGUAUCGUUUGGUUCGGGGAUAAGAAAAAAGUGGCUAUUCCAGGGAUAGGUAUAAAUUGAGGUAUAAGCGAGGAUUAGAUCAAUUUUGCGUUUGGAUGAAAAUUUGGUUAUUCCUGGAAUAAAAAAAAUAGCGUUUGGUUAGGUAAGAUGGAAUAAGAAAGAUAAUGGGUUUUGUAAAUAAAAAAUAAUGAUAUUAUCCACUUAUUAUAUUUGAAUUUGAAUUUUUAAAUUUU
This 54128-nucleotide long non-coding RNA is filed under the name Ananas comosus (pineapple). Its description in RNAcentral is "long non-coding RNA (ACOM_LNC014510)". The record is from RNAcentral. Lineage: Eukaryota; Viridiplantae; Streptophyta; Magnoliopsida; Poales; Bromeliaceae.